CCAAGAUGACCUUAUCAAUUUGCUUUCUAAAAUUAACAUGACGCUUCCUCUUCAGAUAAUCGAAAGCGUGGGAGGAAAAAGGAAAAUGCCUACAUAGAUAUAGAUUUAACAAACAUGGUGUUUCCUUGUUAUUCGGACUCAAGUGCUUUUGCAACUGCAACUUGAGACAGAAAGAUUUAAUGGGUAUGUUGGAUCUCUCUUUUGUUUUCUUGUCAGUUAAUGAUGGUUUAUGUUUUCUUUUGGAGAGUAAGGUGUUUUUAUGUCAUGCAUGACGAGACUUGUUCAAAGGCACUUCUUUUGUUAAAAAAGAUGUGAUUUUCAUGCAGGUUUCAGCAAAUAAGACUCAAGAUAUUAAUUUUUUUCAGUCUUUAAUAACUAUUGCAGCACUUUAACUAUGAGAGAGGAAAAGGGUUGUUGAGUUUGUGAGAAAUUACAACUCUUCAACGCUUGAGUUGGAGUUCAAAAAACUUCAUAAGGGUUUUGCUCACUAGCAUAAAUGCUCUUCUUUUUUUUUUGGUCUGUAUAGAGUUUCUUAGGAACUGCUUUUUUCUUUGUUGCUUGCCUUUUGUUCUUCUCUAUAUAAACUGUAACCCACCAUGGGAGAGGGAAAAAAAUAUUGUGUGUGUGUGUGUGUUUUUUUUUUUUUUUAAUUUCUAGUUAUGUAUGUGUUUGGAAACAAAAUAUUUCUUUUCUAUUCCUGUAGCAACUGAUUCUAAGUUCAAUAUCUAGUUGUAAUUAUUUUUCCAGAUUUAGGAAAAAAGUUCAUACUGGCGGUCUUCUUACAAUGAUUGCAGCUUUGUCUUUGUAUAUAUCCUUUUAUAGAUAAGAAGAAAAUGGAAAUAAAUAAAGAGAAAAUAUGACCAACUUUACCAUGCCAAUGAGAAGAAGUGGAGAUGACUCCCUCAGAUUCAACUGUGUUAGUUUAAUCAGUCAAUAGCUUCUUAACGAUUUAAAAAAUUCAAAUUUUGCAAUUAUAUUAUUGCCCUUAACAACCAAACAGUUCUUUAACGCUAAUACACGACCAGGGGUGCUAUGUGUCAAUAUAUGCAUACAUUCUCUCCAAGUGUAGUAAGGGUAAACCUCAUGGGAGGUAUCUAAAAAUUAUCCUUUUUGAAUUUUUUUUAAAAAAAAGUGAACCGAACUUUCCCCGUUCACGCAUGUGUUUUGUUAUUGGUUUUCCCACUAACAUCUUGUUUUAAUUUAGACAACCCAUAUUUAUUACAACUUAUCAACUUGUAAUUUUGCAUGUUGAAAAUGUGCACUAUCAAUUAAUUAAGAAAUUAACGUAAGAGCUCUUGGGUUCGAUCCCCACUAUACAACUAUUUGGGAGGGGUAAGGAGUCUUAACUGUGAUUAUACCCCGAAUCCGCGUUAGUCGGGACUCAAUGCGGUCACAAGAAAUUGGAUGGUUUAAAACCAAAAAAAGAAAACAAAUUAACGUAUAGAAUGUGAUUCAUUGUUUAUUGUUAAAUUUUUAAAAAAAUUAAGGUCCUUGAAAUUGUUUUGGACUCUAGAAGAUAGAAUUACACUAGAUUAACUUUUAAGAUUAGAUUGAAUUAGAUUAUACUAGCUAAAUUAUAUAUUACUAUCCUUUAUUUGGUAUAAUGUCGGAUAAACUGUUUAAUGAAACAAAAACAAAUAAUAAAUAGUAUAAUUAUUUUCAAAUUAUAUUUCUAAUUUUUUAAUAUAAUAUGUAUAUUAAAUAUUAUUGUAAAUAAUAAUUAAAUAAUUUUUAUGUUUAAAUUAUUGAAUUAAAAUUUUGAUACCUAAUUUCAAGUUAAAAUAAAAAAUUAUUAAAAAACUAUUGAUAAAGGUAGUAAAUUUGAAUUAAAAAAUAUAUUUAAUCCAACCUAAACUCAUGUGAAAGUGGGGAUCAAUAAUCUCAUGAAUUUGAGACUAAAAUUUGAACUAAUUUACUAGUCUUGACAACCAAACAUAACCUUGGAUUAGAUUAUUUUUUUUAUCCUCCAAAUUACAGUCUAAAUGCUAUCUUCUAUCCUACUUCCAAACAUAGUCUUCAAGUCUUAGAAACACACGGGUAAAUUGUAAGAUAAAGCAUUUUGUCAUGGAUUUUCAUUGCUUGACAAACUUUUUGGGAGAACAAUAAUGCUGCAGAUUGUCUUGCUAAUCUACAUCUUAAUGAGUUUUUUUUUUUUUGGGGAAUAAUCCUCACUUAGGGAUUCAACAAUUCUUGUCUUAAGAUGCUAAUCACUUUUGAAAUAUUGUUUCUUUUGAUAUGCUUUUAUUUUUAAUUUCUUUUUUACCUAUAGUUUCUCACGAUGUUGUUUCAGUGCUAUGGCUUAUCUUAAGAUUGAAGCACAUUAUGUCCCCCUAAAUGGAUGUUCUGAUUACUCUUUCUUAUUUAAUAAAAUCCUUCAGUAUGUCGAGGUUCAUCAAAAGAAAAUUAAGAAGCUAACAUAGCCCCAAGUCUUCGCCAAGUGUUUUUUUUUUUAAAUUAUAUGAGAUUAUUGUUUAAGAGUACAACUCAUAUUAAAUGAGAUUACAAUUGAUAUUUACAAAUCAAAUUGUUACUAGGACUAAUUUACAUCUUAUGAAGCACCGCCCAAAUUUUUACCCUCUCUAUUAUUCAAGGGAUGUAUACUCCACUUACAUUUCGAAAAGGAGAAAACUGCCUUCAGUCAAAUCGAAGAAGGAAAUUAAACCCCCAGAAUGCAUUGUGGGGGCUCGAACCCAUGACCUUACAAUUGUGAGGUUUGGGUUCUAACUGGCUCGUUCGCCGAGUGAUUUUUAAGUAGCUUGAUUAAGCUUAUUUGAAUUUCCAAUGCCUAGUCAAGUGGUUUUCAAGCACUUUAUUUUAGUUCACCACCCAAAUUUGAAUCUUCUCUACCCCCAGAAUGCAUUGUGGGGGCUCAAACCCAUGACCUUACAAUUGUGAGGUUUGGGUUCUAACUGGCUCGUUCGCCGAGUGAUUUUUAAGUAGCUUGAUUAAGCUUAUUUGAAUUUCCAAUGCCUAGUCAAGUGGUUUUCAAGCACUUUAUUUUAGUUCACCACCCAAAUUUGAAUCUUCUCUACUAGGGAUGGCAAUGGGCACCGCCCGCAGCGGGUUUUAACAAUUACCAAACCCGCAAUGGUAUCCGGCGGAUUUUUUGCGGGUUUCCGUAUUUAAAAUCACAAAUGUUUAAUAUAUAAAUUUAUAAUAAUAACCUUAAAUUCCAUAUAACAUACUCAAUUUUAUAUUUAAAUAAUGUAAAUGAAAAAUUAAAAUUUCCACAUCAAUUCAACACAAAUUCUCAAAUUUAAGUAUAAAUUACACAAAUCCAUUUAAAAAACACAAACUAGUAUCUAAAAAUAAUAAUUACAUUUCAUAUUAUCAUUUAAAACAAGCUCCAAGAGAAGAUAUUCAUUUCAUUCACCACCAUAAGCACCCAUCCAACACAAUGCCUAUAAUAAUAAUUAAGAUUAAUAUUUUCAAAUACUAAUUCGAAGGAAAAUGCCUUUAGUUUUCUUUAGAUUAUGACUUUAGAAUAGGAUAUAGGUCACAUACACACAUACACAACUUUGAGCCUUUGACUAUUUGGUAAUUUAAUUAAUGACAUUAUUUUCUUUAUACAUUUUUAGAUUAAAAUUAAAUUAAAAAUAUUUGAAAAAAUAUUGCGGGUUUGGUGGAUAUCCAUGCGGGUAUCCACCGGAUAUAAGGUUAAUACCAAACCCACCCGCAUCCAUAUGCGGGUUUUAAUUUAUAAUACUAAACCCGCCCGCAACGGGUAAAAUUACCCGCAACGGGCGGGUUUUGGCGGGUGGGUUUGGACGGAUUUGCGGGUUUGCGGGUACAAUUGCCAUCCCUAUUCUCUACCUUUAAAAAUCAUUAAAAAAAUAAGAAUUUUAAAUUGAAAAAAUGCCUAUAAAUAUCUUGGCUGCUCGCUGCUUUACAGUCCCCAGCACGUUAACCAAAUGGCUCUCUCUUCCAAAUUUCUUCUUUUUUGCUUUCUUCUCCUUUUCAUCUCUCCUUCCAUAGCCAAAACGUCUUUUAGACCAAAAGCACUAGUCCUUCCGGUUACCAAAGAUGGAUCAACUCUCCAAUACCUCACUCAAAUCAAACAAAGAACCCCUCUCGUGCCUGUGAAAUUGACCCUUGAUCUUGGUGGUCAGUUUCUAUGGGUUGAUUGUGAAAAAGAAUAUGUAUCAUCUUCCUAUACAUUUGCCCCUUGCCAUUCAGCUCCAUGCUCUCUCGCUAAUGCACCUUAUUGUUUUGAAUGCCAUGGUAUUAAACCCAGGCCAGGUUGCCACAAUAAUACUUGCAAUCUCCUGCCUGAAAACACCAUAAACGGCAUUAGCUUUUUCGGUGGGGUGUCCAUGGAUGUCGCGUCCAUCCAAUCCACUGAUGGCAAGAAUCCGGGUAAAGUCGUUUCAGUGCCUAAGCUUCUCUUUGUCUGUUCUGACUCAUUUCUUUUAACAGAUCUUGCAAAGGGUGUUACGGGUAUGGCUGGCCUUGGAAGAACUAAAAUUUCACUUCCAUCCCUGUUCUCUUCUGCUUUUAGCUUUAAGAGAAAAUUUGCCAUUUGCUUGAGUUCCUCUACCGAAGCUAACGGCGCUGUCUUCUUUGGUGACGGCCCUUAUGUUAUGCUUCCUGGUGUUGAUGUUUCAAAGUCUCUCACUUACACCCCACUUAUCCUCAAUCCUGUGACUACAGCAACUCGUACUUUUACAGACCUUCCUUCAUCUGAUUACUUCAUUGAAGUAAAGUCUAUUAAAAUCAAUGGACACGUCAUCCCUAUGAACACAUCUUUGCUAUCAAUUGACAAAAAGGGUUUCGGUGGAACCAAAAUCAGCACUAUCCGUCCUUACACGGUGUUGGAAUCAUCAAUCUACGAAGCUUUUAUUGAAGCUUUCACCAAAGAGUUAGCGAAAGUCCCUAGAGUUAAACCAGUUUCACCAUUUGGGGCAUGCUUUAAUUCUACCCACAUUGGCAGAACUCGUGCUGGACCAGCUGUGCCUCAGAUUGAUCUAGUCUUGCAAAGUAGCAAAGCAGUUUGGAGUAUUUUUGGGGCAAACUCAAUGGUGCAAGUUAAAAGGGAUGUUCUUUGCCUAGGUUUUGUGGACGGUGGAGUACACCCUAGGACUUCAAUUGUGAUAGGUGGGCAUCAACUGGAAGAUAAUCUUCUGCAGUUUGAUCUAGGCACAGCAAGGCUAGGGUUCAGCUCUUCUCUCCUGUUCCGCCAAACAACUUGCUCCAAUUUCAAUUUUACGUUUAAUGCUUAGAGAAUCUUUAAUCUUCAUUUCAGUUGUUUGUUCUCAUUUCGUGUUUAGAUAAAUAAAUUUUCAUGUGGCCUUUCAUGAAUACCCCACUUUGAGUUUGGCCUUUUGGAGAUUAUAUUAAUGAUUUAAUGUCACUGGGCUUUUCAUGAACCCACUUGAAUAUUGCGUUUCGGAUGGAGAAAUUUUUUUUUUUUUUUUAGAAUAAAAGCUUAGCUUUCAUUAAAUCAACUUUGAAAAAGGUACAAAAGAUGUGUAUGACAUUCGAUGAACCCCAUUAUUGGUUCCACACUUUCUAAAGCUACUUUGGCAAUCGAAUGGGCCGUGCCAUUAUGAAGCCGAGAGGCGCGCUGCAGUGUGAGGUUCUGUAGUUCCUUUAGCUUUUCCUGGAUGUCCAAAAUGGUCCAACAGAUCUCAGUAUUACUGCUUUUUCUUCCUAAAGCCAGAUCCACAGCUUCUCAGCAAUCACAUUCAAUUAUCAAAGGCACACAAUUGGCAGCUUCUGCAGUUUCUAUUCCCAGCUUAAUUGCUUCUGUUUCUGCGGCAGUUGCAUCUCCGAAGUAUCUGACUUGCUUCUGAGCUACUGCUACAAAGUUUCCUUCCAAGCUUCUGAUCACCACUCCUAAGCCUGCCACUUGCUCUUUUAACUUUGUUGCUGCAUCCACAUUAACCUUGAACCACACCGUUGGAGGAGGUUUCCAGUUCUGGUUUUCUCUGCAAGUCUGCCUUGUAUAGGAGGGCAGUGAUGGGAAUUUAAUUUUCCUAUAUGAUUCCACUAUUGCUUCUGCUUUGGCCAGUGAUACUUGAGAUCUUCAUUCUUUCCCUCAAAGACAAAAAGAUUCCUUAAGUGCCAGGUAGCCCAACAUAAAGCUGUGAAGAGCUCCAUUUCUGCUUUGCUUUUCUUCUCUGCUACAGUUUGAAACACGCUCAACAGAUCUUUGUUAGCAAAAGCUUGGGUUUCUUCUGCAAAUGCUGUGAUCCUCCAAGUUUUCUGAAAUGCUUUACAAUUUAAGAGGGCAUGAGAAACAUUUUCACCUUGUUUGCCAUACCAUUGACACCACAGCUAUUGCACAAUUUUCCUUUUCCACAGGUUUUCUGCUGUUGAAAGCAGAUUUCGUACUGCCCUCCACAUGAAUAUUUGAACUUUCUCUGAUAAAUACAAUUUCCAGAUUCUAUGCCACUUGGAUGAACUUGUUUUUGAUGAGUCUGGACAGUCAUGGAAUUUUAGUCUCAGAGCAACUUGGUAGCCACUCUUUACUAAGUAAUUUCCAUGUUUGUCAUAAAGCCCAUAUAGAUUGGUCUGGUCUUGGAGUUCUUGGCAAUAUAAUCUUCAAGAUGCAAUCUGCAUCCUUAAGUAUGAAGUGUUGUCUGAUUAAUGCUUCAUUCCACUUGUGCUCUGCAUUAAUUAAGAGGGGAAUUGUAGCCUCCAGUGGCAGGGUUGGAGCUGACACUAUCUUGAAAGUUGAAGGUCUAGGAAUCCAGUUACAAUUAUAAAUCUUGACUUGCUCUCCACUCUCUAUUCUCCAUCUUAGACCUUGAUGCAGCACUUGUCUACUCCAAAGAAUACUCCUCCAAAUAAAAGAUGGUUUAUGCCCCAAUUUUGCAUUUAAAAAGUCUGUCUUCUUAAAGUACAAAGCCUUUAAGACUUUUGCCAUAAGGGAGUCUGGAAAUUGGAUCAACCUUCAUCCUUACUUAGCUACUAAAGUUUGAUUAAAGCUUAAUAGAUCUCUAAACCCCAUGCCCCCUUUUCUUUUGGAAGUACUCAUUUUCUCCCACUUGGCCCAAUGUAUGCUUCUAUGAUCUUCCUUUGAGUUCUACCAAAACCAAGCUAUUGCUCUUUGAAUAUCUGCACAAAAACUUAAUAGAAUUCUGAAAACACUCAUGGCAUAGGCAGGGAUUGCUUGGGUGAUUGCUUUGAUUAAAACUUCUUUCCCUCUGCUGGAGAAAAGCUUGCUUUCCCAAUUUGAUAUUGAUUAGUAUUAAAAAUUGUUUAAUUAUCAAGCGAUAAUAAUAUCAUUUUGUGCCUAUGUUAUAAUUUAUAUUUGUGUUUAUGCAAUAUAUUAGGAAUUAUUAAUAAUGUUUUAAAUAUAUCUAAUUUUGUGUAUUUUUGUAUGUUUAUUAUGUAAAAUAUUAAUUUCACAUAAUUCGAGUCUUCAAACAGAUAAAUAGAGGUUAAAUUUGGAUUCCGAAGGUCUGAAAACCUUAAGAUCAGUCAAGAUCGACUUAAAAUUAGGCUUGUGUAAAAAAAAGUUGACUUUUUCUGUUGAUCGAGCACUGAUUGGAUGAUGAAAUGAGCUUACAAUAGAUAUGAGUGCAUGAGAUAGUUGGCAAUUUUCACUAAAUAUCAACCGUUCAUGAUUCAAUAGUCAUAAUUGUGCCACGUGGCAAUGGUUGGUGAAGCAAGUUGUAGGAUCCAAAUCUUUGUAUUCGGGUCGAACUGAUCCACCCAUUAACCCGCCAAAUCUCAAUCGUUCUUUGGCCAAAUCAGACAAGUCAAAUGAUGCCACGUGUGAUGUUGACUUUUGAAGUUUGACCAGCCGUUGGAUCUUGAUCUAAUGGUUGUGAGGAGUACAUGCAUGAAGCUUAUGAUGGACCGCAAAACACUGGAUUACGAAUUUAUUUUUCUAUAAAUAGAGCCUCAUUUUUAUGUUUUUAAUCAUCUCUCUACAUCUUUCUUCUUCUCAAAUUCUCGGAUCUCUCCAUCUCCCUAUAAUCUUGAUUUCCAAGUAUGUUUUUAAUAUUUUGUAUAAUUAUUUUAUUAAUAAAUUUAUUUUUAUUUUUAUAUUUUAUAUUUUAAAAUUUUGAUUUAUUGUAAACAAACAAAUGAAUUUGGCACAAUAAAUACUUAAUCCAUCAUAAAAUUAAAGGAAAAAUAAUAAUAAUGUAUAUAAUUAAUCUUUUGGGCAAUAAUAAUGGCAAGCCCAAAUAUUUCUCAUGCCUAGACACAACACUGAGCUGGAAUUUGUUCUUUAUAUCCUCAAUCUGCCUUACUUGAGUGUUUCUACUAAAGAACAUUGACAAUUUUUCAUAAUUGAAAUUUGGCCCGAGACAGCUACAUAUUUGUCAAAAAUGAGCUUCAUAUUUAUGCAGUCUUCAGUUGUGGCCCUUGUAAAGAUAAGAUUGUCAUCUGCGAAGAGCAAGUGAGUGAUUGCCAAGUUGUUGCUGAAUUUCAGUCCCUGGAUCAGCUUCUGAGUUUCUGCUUGUUGUAGCAAGUUUGAAAAGCUUUAUGCACAAAGAAUAAAGCAAUAUAAGGAUAAGAGGCAGCCCUGCCUCAAUCCUCUUUGUGAAAGAAUCAUUCCUUUGGCUACUCCAUUUAUCAAUAUUGAGAAUGACGAAGGUGUAAUACAUCUUAUAGUCAAUUCAAUUCAUUUGGGUGAAAAUCUUAGUCUCUUUAUAGUAUUUUCCAAGAAGCACCAUUCAAUUCUAUCAUAUGCCUUACUUAUGUCGAGUUUUAAGGCUACUAACCUAUUUUUCCUCCCUCUGUUAAGCCUUAUCUUGUGCAAACAUUUAUAUCCUAUGACAACAUUAUCCGUUAUGAGUCUGUUUGGUAUGAAGGCACUUUGUGUUGCUGAGAUGAUGACAUGCAGCAUAUAUUUAAGCUAUUAGCUAUGGUUUUUGUGAUUAUUCUAUAUAUUACAUUACAUAAGCUAAUAGGCUUAAACUCUGUUACAUUUCUAGGCUUCUCAACCUUGGGCAUCAGUGCAGUGUAAGUAUGAUUGAGAGACGCUAUGUUACCACCUUCAUUGAGAAUAUAAAGACAAGUUGCCAGCACUCUUUUGCUUAUUGAUUUCCAAUGUUUUUUAAAAAAGGCUACUAGAAAUCCAUCUGGUCUGGGAGCUUGGUUGGGUACAUUUGGGAUAGAACUACUGAUAUCUCCUCGGCAGUCAAAGGUCUGUCCAGUUCCUCGUUCAUCUCCUCUUUGACCUUCCUAGGCAUAUUUUGCAAAACAACUUCCAAUUGGGCUUGUAAAGGGUUUGUUAUAGUGAAUAAAUUUGUAUAGUAGUUGCAAAACAUUCUUUUUACAUCUUCUUCUUCUUCUGUCCAAUUUCUAUUUUCAUCAAUUAUUCCCCAAAUUCUAUUUUUCCUCUUUCUCCAUGAAGUUUUAGCAUGGAAAAACUUCGUAUUUUUAUCUCUUACUCGUAGCUAAUCUGCUCUUAAUCUCUACUUCCAAUAGAUUUCUUCAUUUAGCAGAAAAGCAUCAAUCUUCUUUUCUAAGCUCUUGAUUCUUUUCUCUUCUUCAUAGUGUUGGUUCUGUUACUUUGCCCAUUUCAACUCAUUAAUCAUCUUCUUUAACUUCUGACUUCUGUCCCUUAACUCCUCUUUGUUCCACCACUGUAGGUGAGUCAUUGUUGCCUUUGUUGCUCUUUUGAAGCUUUCAACUGCAUCUUCACUAUACCAUCUUCUUUGCUCUACCCACUCUUGUUCCACAAUCUCUCUACAUUUAUCAUAGGAGCUCUAAAAAUCCUCAUAAUGCACUGAAGGAAAAGUUCUUCUAUUAUAUCUUAAGCCCCUCCCUUUUGCCAUCACUUCCAUCAAAAUGGGGUUAUGGUCCGAUGUCCAUGUCUCUACUGUUUCAGCUGCCGAUUCUAAGAACACGUUUCUUCAUUCUUGAUUACACAAAAAGCAAUCUAAUCUCUCCACAAUCAAAUGUGGCUCGUAUCUUUUAUUGCUCGUAUCUUUUAUUUGACCACAUUAAGGGACGCCCUUUACAACCUAAAUCCACCAGGCUACAAUUUCUAACAGCGUCCCUGAACAUCUGCAUCACGCUAGCUUCUCUAUUGUUCCCUCCUAUUUUUUCAUGACGCCAUAGUAUUUCAUUGAAAUCUCCAAAGCAUAGCCAAAACAAAGAGGAUAAAUUGGCUAACCUUUUUAAGAAUGCCCAUGUGUGGUGCUUCUGGCACGUCUCUAGGUGUCUAUAGACCUCUGUACAUCUCCAAUAACUUCUAUUUUUAGCACAAACUAUUGCAUCAAUAUGGUGCUUGCUCCAUGAUUUGACCUCCACAGUUAAUUCUAACUUCUACAUCAUUGUUAAACCUCAUUUUUUCCAUGUUCAAUUUUCAAAAUUUAGCUUCUGACAUUUCUCUUCCAUUUGCUUACACUACAAGAAAACUGCUAACAAAUGACAGACAACUUAUGACAGAUUCUGGGUAUAUCAUAAAACUAUGAUAGACUUGUGACAUAAUUUUCAAUUUAUCAUAAAUUAAUGAUGGUUUUGUGAUAGAAAUAUUUUCUAUCAUAAAUUUAUGAUGGCUUUAUGAUAUGAUUAUCAUUUAUCACGAACUUAUGAUAGAAUCGUGAUAGAAAUUUAAUCUAUCAAGAAAUUAUGAUAGAAAAAUUACUUUGACCAUAUUUGACCCAAAUUUUAUACAUUAUUUUAUUUAAAAAACAAAAGGUGUGUUUUAAUAAUUAAAAAAAAAUGCUAGCCAAACCGUACCGUUUUGGGUACUUUAAACUUUCUUUCUUCUUUUUUUGUCCUAAGUGUUAAAUGAAUACACACUUAGAAAAUAAAAUUCUACUUCUCUUAUCACACUCUCAUUUUCUUCAUUUUUUUUCUUUUCUUUCAUUUUCUCAAGAAACCUUAACGAAAUUUUCUCAGGAACCAAACAAUUUACAAAUCCUUCGAUUCUGAAGGAAAAUGCAAUACAAGAGGUUGAAGCAGCAUCAACAGUAGUAGCAAGCACUGGUGUAGCAAGCGCUUCUUCAAUAGCGGCCUCUUAGCCACUCCUCAGCUCUAAUUUCUCGUUUGCAUUUUGUUUCUCGUCGCUUAUGUGAAUCCAUUAUGCCUUGAUUUCGAUUGUGUUUUCAUAAUUUCAAGCUUUGAUUUGUUCGCGCUAUUUAGGGUUAGCUUGUGUGAUUUCGAUGUUCUUGUUUGUUUUGGUUUUUAAUUUUCAAGCUUUGCUAGAGUUAGGUUUUGAUUAUUCUUGUUUUGUAAAAAUUGUUCAAAUUUUUGGGUGUUUGUUCAAAUUUUCAAGCUUUGUUCAAUUUAUUUUACUUUCCAGAUGCGUAUUUUCGAUCUCUUCAGUCAGCUCGCUGCCGCUUCUUAAUUAUGUCGACAAUCCAUCACCAAAGGUUCACCUUUGCCGUAUAAAUCUAGGCUACAGCCUCUUGACUCCAUUGAUGAAUCCUUCACUAGAGCUUUAUCAGUGAAGCAUUUACCUAAGCAUCUGAAUAUUGUGUCAUUGAACGACACUUAUGAGGAUGAUAGCGUUGUGCACAUUGUGAUGAAGCUAUGUGAGGAAGGAGAGUUGGUUGAUAGGAUUGUCGCCAAAGGGCAUUACACUGAGCGAGUUGCUGCUGCAGUUAUGAAGACCAUUGUUGAAGUUGUUCAAGUUGGUUUCUGGUCUUUUAUGUGUUUUGUGUUUGGCAUUGCUGCGGAAUUUGAUGUUUAUGGCCUUAAAUUGAAUUGGCAGUGCAUGGCAUUCAAUUUAUUUUUACCAGUUUGUAGUUAAAUUGGUUAAGGUAUGAAAUUUAUAGGUAGUGACUCAGGCUUUAUACAAAUGUUAAAAUCAAAACUUGUUUGGAGUUGGGACGUUUUCCUUUUUCUCCCCAUAAGCUUCUACUUUUUUUUAUUCUUUCCUCAUAAAUGCUAUGUUUGAGUGUUUUUAUUUGGAGAGAUGGAUGAUAUUCUGUCUAAAAUUUUAAAUUUAAGUUCCCUUAUCAAAUGGACAUCGGGAAGGUUUCACUUAGUUUAUUCCAUUUUUUUUUCUCUCUUUCUUUAUCUGGUAUUAAGCUUGCCAAUAUAUUUUUUUUUUUUGCGCUGUUUAAUUGAUUCUUAUUUCAUUCAGUCUCAGAUGUUAGUGACUUAAAAUUUCUUAUGAUCUAUAUGGAUGCACAGGAAUUUGUUUGUUUAUUCUGAAAUCGGUUACUUCUUAGGGCUUAAAUGUUUUAUCUCUGUGCAUCUUACCAUGUACUGAGCCACUUAUGACAAUUCUUUCUCUCAUCGAUUCUUUGUACAUGUAUUUUUUGAUCAACUUGUAGACUCUGUUUCUCGUGUUAAUUCUAUGAUUUUCAGAAGUUAUGCUCUAUGUUUUUAGUGACCUCAUUCUUCUAACCUGCAUUUCCUUGUAUGAUUUUUCCACUGCAGGUGUGUCAUAAGCAUGGAGUCAUGCAUCGUGAUCUCAACCCAAAAAAAAUUCUAUUUGUUAAUAAGAAGAAAAGUUUUUCCUUAAAGGCAAUUGAUUUUGGGUUGUCGGUCUUCUUUAGGCCUAGUAAUGUGCUAUAUAAUUAGCAAUUGCAUGCCCCUGCCUGCUAUUUAUUCUUUUCACCUUCAUUCCUUUAUCUUAUACUGUUCUUACCUGAAGGUUUCUCUUUUCUACAGGGGAGCAAUUCAACGAGAUAGUUGGAAGUCUAUAUUACAUGGCGCUAGAGGUUUUAAAGCGUAAUUAUGGACCAGAAGUUGAUGUCUGGAGUAUGCUUUAACUCCGGAGAAUUUGGAAUUGGAUCAACAUCUGUGCCUCAAAUCGAUCUCGUUUUGCAGAGCAACGCAAGGUGUUGUGGAGCAUCCUUGGAGCAAAUUCGAUAGUCCAGGUUGGCAAUGAUGAUAAUGUGUCGUGUCUGGGGUUUGUUGACGGAGGGGCACCAAGGACUUCAAUUGUUAUCGGAGGGUAUCAAUUGGAAAACAACCUUCUGCAGUUUGAUUUAGCUUCUUCAAGACUUGGUUUCAGCAAUUCGCUGUUGCUCCGGCGAACAUUUUGUUCCAACUUCAAAUUCACGUCCAUUUGAUUCACUAGGAUGAAUUCGGCUAAGUUUAUCAAUAGUACAAUUUGAAUAAUGGACUCAUGGUCCGUGGUUAGUUUUCAUGAUUAAUUUUAACAGUUAACGUGCUAUAUGUGAACUGAGCUUUCUUUUUAUUUCUACGAGGCCACGUGCUAUAGUGAUAUAAAAUGAAGACUGAAGAGAAUGAUAAAAUCGACGUCCAGGCUUAUCAGCUAGAGAUCCAUUAUCAACUUGAAUAAUUUUGAUAAUUCCUAAAAGAGAAUGAUAAAAUCGACGUUCAGGCUUGUCAUCUAGAGAUCUGUGAUCAACCUGAAAUAUUUUUGUAAUUCCUUAAAAUAUUGUAUUAUUUUGAAAUGAAGGUAUGAAGUGUUGAUUGUUAUAAUAUUAGUUCGCAGAACAAUGUAUAGUUAUAAAAAUAAAUAAUCGAAGAUCUUAGACACAAAUUAACCCACAAGACACUGUAAUAAAAUAAAACAAAACAAAGAUGUGAACAGAACUAGCGUUUGGAUGGCUAGCUAUUGAGUUGGCUUUCAAGUCGUUCCUCAACAAGGCUCGAGCCGCCAUGGAUAAAUCCGAUCCUGCUCGCGAUCCGGACGACAUUGUUGACCAAAACAACGACGAUGGCGCCGAUGGCAAUGACAAAGACAAAGACAAACCAUCCGAUGCUUAAAUGGUCAAAUUUAUUAGAUUAUUAGUAUCCAAACGAUGUGCUUCCUAUUUGAAUUACUCUCUAUUCAGCUUUAGCAGUUGUGUUCCUACAUCCCAUUCCCGUACUGAAGCUAUAUACUCUCCAUUUUAAAUGUUAAUUUUCUUGUGAUUAUGAUUAAUCAGUCGUUUUUGAAAUUUUUUUUUUUUUUAAGUGAACAGAACUUUCCCCGUUCACGCAUGUGUUUUGUUAUUGGUUUUCCCACUAGCAUCUUGUUUUAAUUUAGACAACCCAAAUUUAUUACAACUUGUCAACUUGUAAUUUUGUAUGUUGAAAAUGUUCACUAUCAAUCAACUAAGAAAUUAACGUAUAGAAUGUGAUUCAUUUUUUAUUAUUGUUUAUUGUUAAAUUUUUUUUUUAAUUAAGGUCCUUGAAAUUGUUUUGGGUUCUCAAAGAUAGAAUUACACUAGAUUAACUUUUAAGAUUGGAUUGAAUUAGAUUAUACUAACUAAAUUAUAUAUUACUAUCCUUUAUUUGGUAUAAUGUCGGAUAAAUUAUUUAAUGAAACAAAAAAAAUAAAUAGUAUAAUUAUUUUCAAAUUAUAUUUCUAUUUUUUAAUAUUAUAUUUAUAUUCAAUAUUAUUGUAAAUGAUAAUUAUAUAAUUUUUUAUGUUUAAAUUAUUGAAUUAAAAUUUUGAUAUCUAAUCUUCAAUUAAAUUCGAGUUAAAAUAAAUUUUAUUCAAAAAAUAUUGAUAUAGGUAGUAAAUUUGAAUUAAAAUAUAUAUUUAAUCUAACCUAAACACAUGUGAAAGUGGAGAUCAAUAAUCUCAUGAAUUUAAGACUAAAAUUUGGACUAAUUUACUAGUCUUGACAACCAAGCAUAACCUUGGAUUAGAUUAAUUGUUUUAUCCUCCAAAUUACAGUCUAAAUGCUAUCUUCUAUUCUACAUCCAAACAUAGUCUUCAAGUCUUAGAAACAUAUGGGUAAAUUGUAAGAUAAAGCAUUUUAUCAUGGAUUUUCAUUGCUUCACAAUUUUUUUGGGAGAACAAUAAUGCUGCAGAUUGUCUUGCUAAUCUACAUCUUAAUCAUGAUGAGUUUUUUUUUUUUUUUUUUGGGGGGGGGGGANNNNNNNNNNNNNNNNNNNNNNNNNNNNNNNNNNNNNNNNNNNNNNNNNNNNNNNNNNNNNNNNNNNNNNNNNNNNNNNNNNNNNNNNNNNNNNNNNNNNNNNNNNNNNNNNNNNNNNNNNNNNNNNNNNNNNNNNNNNNNNNNNNNNNNNNNNNNNNNNNNNNNNNNNNNNNNNNNNNNNNNNNNNNNNNNNNNNNNNNNNNNNNNNNNNNNNNNNNNNNNNNNNNNNNNNNNNNNNNNNNNNNNNNNNNNNNNNNNNNNNNNNNNNNNNNNNNNNNNNNNNNNNNNNNNNNNNNNNNNNNNNNNNNNNNNNNNNNNNNNNNNNNNNNNNNNNNNNNNNNNNNNNNNNNNNNNNNNNNNNNNNNNNNNNNNNNNNNNNNNNNNNNNNNNNNNNNNNNNNNNNNNNNNNNNNNNNNNNNNNNNNNNNNNNNNNNNNNNNNNNNNNNNNNNNNNNNNNNNNNNNNNNNNNNNNNNNNNNNNNNNNNNNNNNNNNNNNNNNNNNNNNNNNNNUUUUUUUUUUUUUUUUUGGGGGGGGGGGAAUAAUCCUCACUUAGAGAUUCAACAAUUCUUGUCUUAAGAUGCUAAUCACUUUCUGAAAUAUUGUUUCUUUUUAUAUGCUUUUAUUUUGAAUUUCUUUUUUUCCUAUAGUUUUUCACGAUGUUGUUUUCAGUGCUAUGGCUUAUCUUAAGAUUGAGGCGCAUUAUGUCCCCCUAAAUGGAUGUGCCGAUUACUCUUUCUUAUUUAAUAAAAUCCCUCAUUAUGUCAAGGCUCAUCAAAAGAAAAUUAAGAAGCUAACACAGCCCCAAGUGUUCGCCAAGCGUUUUUUUUUUCAAUUACAUGAAACUAUAUUACAACUCAUAUUACAUGAUAUUACAACUGAUAUUUACAAAUCAGACUAUUAUUGAGAUUCUUUUACAUCAAUUAUUAUGAAGUGGUGUUCAAAUUUUUACCUUACGUCUACUUCACUCACAUUUCGAAAUGGAUAAAAUUACUUUCACUCAAAUUGAGAAAGAAAUUAAACCCCCACAAUGCAUUGUGAGGUUCGAAUUCAUGACCUCACAAUUGUGAGGUUUGGGUUCUAACCACUAGAUUAAAGCCUAACGGAUCGUUUGCCAAAUGAUUUUUAAGUAGCUUGAUUAAGUUUAUUUGAAUUUCCAAUGCCUAAUUAGGUGGUUUUCAAACACUUUAUUUUAGUUUACCAACCAAAUUUGAAUCCUCUCUACGUUUAAAAUCAUUUAAAAAAAAAUAAGAAUUUUAAAUUGAAAAAAUGCCUAUAAAUAUCUUGGCUGCUCGCUGCUUUACAGUCCACAGCACGUUAACCAAAUGGCUCUCUCUUCCAAAUUUCUUCUUUUUUGCUUUCUUCUCAUUUUCAUCUCUCGUUCCAUAGCCAAAACGUCUUUUAGACCAAAAGCACUAGUUCUUCCGGUUACCAAAGAUGGAUCAACUCUCCAAUACCUCACUCAAAUCAAACAAAGAACCCCUCUCGUGCCUGUGAAAUUGACCCUUGAUCUUGGUGGUCAGUUUCUAUGGGUUGUUUGUGAAAAAGAAUACGUAUCAUCUUCCUAUAGAUUUGCUCCUUGCCAUUCAGCUCCAUGCUCUCUCGCUAAUGCACCUUAUUGUUUUGAGUGCUUUGGUACUAAACCCAGGCCAGGGUGACACAAUAAUACUUGCAAUCUCCUGCCUGAAAACACUAUAAACGGCAUUAGCUUUAACGGUCCGGUGUCCAUGGAUGUCGCGUCUAUCCAAUCCACUGAUGGCAAGAAUCCGGGUAAAGUCGUUUCAGUGCCUAAGCUUCUCUUUGUCUGUGCUGACUCAUUUCAUUUAACAGAUCUUGCAAAGGGUGUUACGGGUAUGGCUGGCCUUGGAAGAACUAAAAUUUCACUUCCAUCCCUGUUCUCUUCUGCUUUUAGCUUUAAGAGAAAAUUUGCCAUUUGCUUGAGUUCCUCUACCAAAGCCCACGGCGCUGUCUUCUUUGGUGACGGCCCUUAUGUUAUGCUUCCUGGUGUUGAUGUUUCCAAGUCUCUCACUUACACCCCACUUAUCCUCAAUCCUGUGACAACAGCAGCUCUUACUUUUACAGACCUUCCUUCAUCUGAUUACUUCAUUGAAGUAAGGUCUAUUAAAAUCAAUGGACACGUCAUCCCUAUGAACACAUCUUUGCUAUCAAUUGACAAAAAGGGUUUCGGUGGAACCAAGAUCAGCACUGUCCAUCCUUACACGGUGUUGGAAUCAUCAAUCUACGAAGUUUUUAUUGAAGCUUUCACCAAAGGGUUAGCGAAAGUCCCUAGAGUUAAACCAGUUUCACCAUUUGGGGCAUGCUUUAAUUCUACCCACAUUGGCAGCACUCGUGCUGGAGCAGCUGUGCCUCAGAUUGAUCUAGUCUUGCAAAGUAGCAAAGUGAUUUGGAGUAUUUUUGGCGCAAACUCAAUGGUGCAAGUCAAAGACGAUGUGCUUUGCCUAGGGUUUGUUGAUGGUGGAGUAAACCCUAGGACUUCAAUUGUGAUAGGUGGGCAUCAAUUGGAAGAUAAUCUUCUGCAGUUUGAUUUGGCCACAUCAAGGCUAGGCUUCAGCUCUUCUCUUCUCUUCCACCGAACAACUUGCUCCAAUUUCAAUUUUACGUCUAAUGCUUAGAGAAUCUUUAAUCUUCAUUUCAGUUGUUUGUGCUCAUUUUGUGUUUAGAAUAAUAAAUUUUCAUGUGGCUUUUCAUGAAUACCCCACUUUGAGUUUUGCGUUUUGGAGAUUAUAGGAAUGAUUUAAUGUCACUGGGCUUUUCAUGAACCCACUUGACUUGAGUAUUGCGUUAUGGAUGGAGAUUGUAUUAAAAAGGAAAAACAAGUCUGUGAUGCAUUUAUUUAUUUAUAAAAAGCCGACUUAUUCAUUCACGAAUUAGCACAUGCAGAAAUAUGCUAUAUAUACUAGUACUGAAUCCAGAGAUAUCGGAUGUUGUUUAGUUAGUUGCUGGAAGAAUGACAGUUCGUUUCCCUUAGAAAUUAUUUUUAUUAUUUACAUUUUCAAUAAAAUUUUUAAUUGUCAAUAAAGAAAUAAAACGAGUCAUGGAAAAUCUAUCAAGAGUUCGAAUCAAUAAUGAGGAUUCUCUUUUGGUUAAUAUCAUACGGCCCCUUGUCUUUUGUAUCAUUUCUAAUAUUUACAUUAUGAGUACAAACUAUCUUCAUAUAUAAUAGUUAAUUAUUUAAUAAAAAGAAAAAACUUGGGACCGGGCAAACCAUGGCCCAGUCUAUGUCAAAAUGGCAUAGGCUCGGCCCAUUAUAAAUUAGGCUUUGACCUUUCAGUUCUUGAGCCUCCUAAAGAAAUAAGGCUUGAACCCAACUGUCAAUCUGUCAUCCAUAGCAGAAACUCAAAUAUUUAAUUAAUAAUUUCAUUUUAUCGUAUAAAUAAUAAAAGUAUUCAAAAAAUUAAUUUCAAACAUUUCUAACUAUCAUUUUCCUUGAAAAUUAAAAAAAAAGUUAUAAAUAUACAAUCAAUCCAUUAUAGUUAAUAAAUUGGUUUAUUAUUGAAAGCGUUAGAAAAGUGGAUUCCAUAAAUUUAAGUUGACAAAAGUUUAACAAAUAAAAAUUUAAAUCAUUAGUGUAAAUAAAAAGGUUAGCUUAAGAGAACCCAGCUUGUUUUUUGUAUACUAAUAAGUAAUUUUAUGAUCCAUUCCAUUGAUGCAGCAUUAAAUGGGCCAGUUACUCCAACUCAUAUAUCAUUCAAUUUUAGAUUACAUUAUUGUUUAACAAAAACCAUUUUUUUAUGAGUAAUGAUACAGCCACAAACUCUUGUACAAACUUAUUUUGUACAAACUGACGUGGCAUUAAUUCAUUGGUUGAAUGAAAAUAUAAAUUAAUAAAAAAUGAAAAUAUAAUUAUUUUGUACAAACUGACGUGGCAUUAAUUCAUUGGUUGAAUGAAAAUAUAAAUUAAUAAAAAUAAAUCAUGUGGGCCAAGUGAUAUUUAAUUCAACCAAUCUUAUCAUGCCACAUCAGUUUGUACAAAAUAAGUUUGUACAAAAGUUUGUGGCUGUAUCAUUACUCUUUUUUUAUUUCAAUAACAUAAUCAGCCCCUGAAAAAAAAAAGCCAAAACGAAGCACGACAUGUAGUGGCCACAACAAUGCCCCACGCAGGAGGUAAUGUAAGCGGUGCAUAGAACAAAGACAGGUCCAACCUAAGUUGCCAAUCUAGAAGAAAUCUUCCAGCCACCUUGACCCAGCCGAAUACAACUUGCAUUAAGUGAAUAAUUGAUCAGAAAGGGGGGAAAUAAAAUAUUGGUGACAAAUUUAAGAGAUCCGAGCCCCAAAAUCCUAUAAAUAGGACAUAUCCCUAUACGAGCAAAACACAAAUAAUUAAGAAUAUAAACAUGUCGGUCGCACAGAGUUUCCUUCUUUUAUGCUCUCUUCUUAUUUUCUCGUUAUCUCCCAUCACAGCCCAAACAUCAUUGCGCCCCAAAGCCCUGGUUCUCCGAGUAGCAAAAGACACUGCCACUCUUCAAUAUGUGACCCAAAUCAAGCAACGAACCCCUCUUGUGCCUGUGAAAUUAACUGUCCAUCUUGGCGGCAACAUUCUCUGGGUUGAUUGCGAGAAAGGCUACGUGUCAUCUACCAAUAAAACAGCCCGCUGUGGCUCAGCUCAGUGCAAUCUUGCUAAUGCUAAAGCUUGUGGAGGUGGCAUUUGUGGCGCUGGCCCGGAUAACCCCAUCUCAAACACUGGGACACAUGGUGACAUACGCAUAGAUGUUUUGUCCAUCCAGUCUACCGACGGCCGUAAUCCUGGUAGAGCUGUUACGGUGCCUAAUUUUAUCUUCCUUUGUGGUUCAGAAUUUGUCUUACAAGGCCUUGCUAGUGGCGUUGUGGGUAUUGCUGGCCUUGGAAGGAGUAAAGUUGCGUUGCCUUCACAACUUGCUGCUGCUUUUAGCCUCAAAAGAAAAUUCGCACUUUGCUUGAGUCCUUUUGAUGAUGGUGCCAUCGUUUUUGGCGAUGGACCUUAUUAUGAUCUUAAUAAUUUCGAUGUCUCCAAGAAUCUUAAAUAUACCCCGCUUUUCAUCAACAAAGUAAACACGGCCUCAGGUUUCUUGGGUGAGCCUUCAGUUGAAUACUUCAUUGGUGUCACAUCCGUUCAUGUUAACGGAAAAGCUGUCCCAUUAAACAAAACAUUGCUAUCUAUUGAUAACGAAGGUGUUGGUGGAACAAAGAUCAGCACCGUCAAUCCUUACACAGUCCUGGAAACUUCAAUCUACAAGGCUCUUGUUCAAGCCUUUGCUAGUGCCAUGCCUAAAGUCGCCAGAGUGGCUCCUGUGGCACCAUUCGGGGCAUGUUUUAGACUGCAAGACAUUGGUUUCACCCGUAUAGGCCCAGUCGUGCCUCAAAUAGAUCUGGUUUUGCAGAACAAGAACGUGGUUUGGAGUAUCCAUGGACAAAACUCAAUGGUGCAGAUUGGCGGCGAUGCGUUGUGCUUGGGGUUUGUGGAUGGAGGAGUAAACCCUAGGACUUCCAUUGUCAUUGGAGCGCGCCAGCUGGAAAACUAUCUGCUUCAGUUUGAUUUAGCUACUUCAAGACUUGGCUUCAGCGACUCACUACUGUUCGAGCGAGCCACUUGCACCUUCAACUUUACAUCCAUUGCAUAAUAAUUUUAAGCAUGUUUGCCUGUUAUUUGUGUGAUGAAUAAAAUGGUCAUGGACCAAUGAUUCGACGCAAUGGUCAGACCAAAUAAUGUACCUUGCUGCACUUGAUCAAUUUAAUUUAUUAUUAAGAGAAUAAAAGAUAUAUUUUUGAAGUAUAUGCUGCGAAUUGUGGUGAUAAUCAUAUCUGUGACCUUACAAAAUUGGGAGGCCCCCCAGAACUCAUUUCUAGUCUUAUCCAUAUUUCUGAUUUGAAAGAUUUUGUAACGAGUCAAUUUCUUUAUUAUCUUUAAUUUACAAAUUACAAGAUAAUUUUUUUUUUAUCACUAUAGAAACUACUGGGUCAAUAAUGCUUCUAGCUGUAUAGCUCACAAAAUCUAAAGAAGUUUGGCAGCACAUAGCUUAGAUAAGGAUUUUAUAAUUAAAUAAAAAUAGGCGGUAGAAUUCUUCAAUAGUCUUCCUGCUGGUUUUUCUUCUUUGCUUUAUUAUGAUCUAUGCUAUCUAAAUUUCUCUUUCGGCGCAAAUCUGAUCACAAACGUUUAUGUGCACGCAAGUUCAUGCUUUUAAGCAAUGAUUAAAAUAUAAAAAAUAAAAUAAAGUAAAAACAAAUAGUAGUAAUUAUGAAUUUAUUAUUUUCUUAAGAAAUUGACUUCAUGAAUUUCAGUUCAUGCAGGUCAGCGGUUUUGAAAACUACGCGUACAAGCUGAUAGUAUACGACAAUAACAAGAUUAAAAAAAAUAAUAAUAAAAGUUCAACAUCAAAUGUAAUUAACUAAUAAUUUUACAGGACCAAUGAGCUGGAUUAGUCAAAGUCAAAAUUCGAGUUAAUGCACUUCAGCAAUCUGGAUAAGUUAGAGGUUUUGCAUGUCGCCUUGUCGCCAUUAUUGACGUCUCCAACCCGCGGCAUAUUUUAUGUAAUAAUUACAUUCAAUUUUCAAUCAACACGUUCUAAGAAAAUUUACAAAACUAACCAAAUUAUUAUUAUUAAUUCUUAUUCUCUCAGUCUGACCAUAAAUUAUAAAUAACAUGUUUAAUACUGCUAUAAAUAUGCACUUGGCACCGGCUUCUCCGAAGCACUCAAUUAAGCCAAACAUGGCCAUCUCCUAUAAUGAUCUUCUUCUCUUUUGCUCUCUUGUCCUUUUCAUCACUCCCUCUUUAGCCCAAACAUCAUUUAGACCAAAAGCACUACUUCUUCCAGUCACCAAGGAUGCAUCAACUCUCCAAUACGUCACUCAAAUCAACCAAAGAACCCCCCUAGUGCCAGUGAAAUUGACCCUUGAUCUUGGUGGCCAGUUCCUUUGGGUUGAUUGUGACCAAGGCUAUGUCUCGUCUUCUUAUAAACCCGUCCGUUGCCGCUCGGCUCAAUGCAAUCUUGCUCGGUCUAAGUCUUGUGUCCAAUCCUGCUUCUCUCCCCCAAGGCCAGGCUGCAACAAUGACACGUGCGCUCACCUCCCAGAUAACACAAUAACAAACACCGGCACAAGCGGCGAGCUUGCUACAGAUAUUGUAUCUAUACAAUCAACUGAUGGCAAGAAUCUGGGCCGGGUCGUUUCAGUGCCUAACCUUGCAUUUGCUUGUGCAGCAACGUUUCUUCUAGAAGGUCUUGCUAGUGGAGUUAAGGGCAUGGCUGGCCUUGGAAGAACUAGAAUAUCACUUCCUUCACAAUUCUCUGCUGCUUUUAGCUUUGAUCGAAAGUUUGCCAUUUGCUUAAGUUCUUCUUCCAGAGUAAACGGUGUCGUCCUCUUCGGUGACGGGCCAUAUUUUUUCCUUCCCCGCGAUAUUGAUUUCUCAAAGUCUCUCUUUUACACCCCUCUUAUACUCAAUCCUGUGAGUACCGCCGGCGCUUUCUUCGAAGGUGAACCCUCAGCUGAAUACUUCAUUGGAGUAAAAUCGAUCAAGAUCAACGGAAACACUGUCCCAUUGAACACAUCAUUGCUAUCCAUCGAUAAAGAAGGCUUUGGCGGUACGAAAAUCAGCACCGUCAAUCCUUACACAGUGCUGCAUACUUCAAUUUACAAUGCUCUAGCUCGAGCUUUCAUCAAAGAGGUAGCUAAUAUCCCUAGAGUCACACCAGUGGCACCGUUUGGUGCAUGCUUCAACUCUACAUUCGUUGGUAGCACACGUGUCGGCCCAGCAGUGCCUCAGAUUGAUUUGGUGUUACAGAGCAAUACUGUAAUCUGGAGAAUUUUCGGUGCAAAUUCUAUGGUACAAGUCAGAGAUGAUGUGUUGUGCCUAGGUUUUGUGGACGGUGGAGUAAACCCUAGGACUUCAAUUGUGAUCGGAGGGCAUCAAUUGGAGGACAAUCUUCUACAGUUCGAUCUGGCCACAUCAAGGCUAGGCUUCAGCUCUUCUCUCCUGUUCCACCAAACAACUUGUGCCAACUUCAACUUCACAUCAAAUGCUUAGAAAGAAUAUCGAAUAUCAUAUCAUUGAUACGAUUGUAUGAUCUGUAUUAUUUAUUUAUGCUUGUUACAGCUCACAACCUCAAUAAACGAUCAUGGUAGCUUUGUCAUGAUCCCACCCAUGUAAUAUUUCAAUAUCAAGUUGCAGUAAAAUCCGAAAGUUUGAUAGAUUUAAUAAUAAAAAGCUGACUGUUUUAUUAGCACAAAUUGUGGCACAUGCUUUUAUAUAUAUUAUACUUAUAAGCACCUUCUGAGCAUAUAUAUAAAUGAGGAUAUUCGGUUAACUUCUUGAAACAAUUACAUUCAUGAUAAGAGAAUUUAUUGGCUAUUUAUGUUAAAGAAUAAUAAGAAUAUGGAGGCAAAGAACAAAAAAAAUUUCUUAGGAUUUGAGACGUGUUUGCACACUUUCCUUUAAGGUUUUAUUUGCCCUCUCCAAUCUUGGUUUGUUAUAGAGUAUUAAUGGCAAAUUACCCCCAAGAUAUAUCAAAUUCUGAAUACAAUCUCUAGCAAAUAAGAUUGUAUUUCCAGAACAUAUAUGAAACCUGCAAAAUCUGAUGAUAUUACCAAAAUGUGUAUAUUUCUUUUAUGAAGAAGAUGUUAAUUCAAAAGAAUGCAACCAUUCGAAAUGGUACUUCUUAAAAAAAACUCUUUUGGUUUGAAUUUGCAACGAUUAACACUUGAAAUUUUCAAGCUUGUCAACCGUUUUCCAGUUGACGCCUUUCUGAAAAUAAACGGUUAACCGUUUUCUCAAUAAACGGUGAGCCGUUUUAUUCCAGAAUGUCAAAUAUGUUGCCCUCUGUACAUAAACGGUUAACCGUUUUCUCAAUAACCGGUGAGCCGUUUUCUCUAGACCAUAAAACAUGCUCUCUGGAGUUAAACGGUUAGCCGUUUUCUCCAUAAACGGCAAACCGUUUUUGUCCAUAAUAUCAAACCAAAGAUUAAAAAUGUUACAAUCUCUCUUACAAUCCCCACUAGAUUGUAAUAUUUUUCAGAUUUAUUAAUGAUCAACUUAUACAUACAAAAAGGUAUCUUUCGAUUUUAACCUUUAAUUAGUGAGUGUAUUUCAAAGCAUUUACAAGACAAUAGUGUGCUAAGCAUUAAACUUUGUCUCUUAAGUAAAUACCGGAGAUACAUCACAUAUAAGCUAUCCCAGAUUUCAAAGUUGUGUUCCAAUAGUUAGCACUAUUCCGGCCUUGUGCUCUAUCUUGGAUUCAUGAACAUUUACAAGAUUAAACCAUGACCUUGUUAGAAACGGCACCAUUUCUUAUGUUCACUUAGGUGAAGUUUCAAAUCAUGUCUUUAGCUACUAUAAGACUUGAACUUCAUUAAGAGUAAAUACUCAACCUCAACCUCGUAGCUAUUUACACCGAAACUCUCGAAUGGGAUUAUUUAUUACUCGGUGCCAAACCAGUCACAUAACAACAACUUGUUAUUACCCAUUUAACUAUGGAGUAGUGGUAUAACUACUACAUAGUUGGGUUACCGUCUUUGGUGACUUUAUUAUGUAAAGGUUUCAAUCUCAUUCCAAAAGAUGUAUCCUUAACUAAGUCUCUUGAAAGACCUUUUGUUAAAGGAUCUGCUAGGUUCUUAUUAGUCCUAACAUAAACAAUAUUAAUAACACCAUCUGCUAUUAAUUGUUUCACAUAUUUAUGUCUCAAGCUAAUAUGUCUAGACUUUCCAUUAUAUACUUUAUUAUAAACUCUAGACAAUGUAGCUUCACUAUCACAGUACAAAGAAAUAGAUGGCAUCGGCUGUGGCCACAACAUUAUAUCAAACAAUAAAUUUCUCAGCCAUUCUGCUUCUUUGCCUGCAGCCGCAAGUGCUAUAAACUCAUUUUCCAUUGUUGAAUGAGUUAUGCACGUUUGUUUCUUUGAAGCUCAAGAAACUGCUCCUCCAGCAAUUGUAAAAAUCCAAUCAGAAGUGGAUUUAUUAUCUCUUGUAUUGGUUACCCAACUAACAUCUGAAUAUCCUUCCAGUACUUCAGGAUAAUCAUUAUAAAACAAACCCAAAUUAAUGGUCUUUUUAAGAUAACCAAGUAUCCUACCAAUUGCUUUCCAGUGUUCAACGCUAGGGUUACUCGUGAAUCUUGACAUUUUGCAAACUGCAAAUGCUAUAUCAGGCCUCGUACAAUGCAUAGCAUACAUCAAGCUACCAAUAGCACUAGCAUAUUCUAGUUGUGCUACUACUCGGCCUGAAUUCUCUAGUAAUUUAAUACUAGAAUCAUAUGGGGUAUUAGCUUCUUUAAAUUUCAAAUAAUUGAAUUUAAGAAGCACUUUCUCUAUAUAAUGAGAUUGACACAACGAGUAACCCCCACUAUGUUUCUUCACUUUGACACCUAAGAUAGUAUCUACUUCACCAAGAUCUUUCAUCUUAAAUUGUGAAGUUAAAUACUUCUUUGUAUCAUCUACUCCUUGCAUAUUUGUUCCAAAGAUAAGCAAGUCAUCAACAUACAAGCAUAUAAUCACACCAAAAUCAUUCGUAAAUUUAAAAUAUAUACAUUUAUCAGCAUUAUUAUGCUUAAAACCAUCACAUAACAACAACUUGUUAUUACCCAUUUAACUAUGGAGUAGUGGUACAACUACUACAUAGUUGGGUUACCGUCGUUGGUGACUUUAUUAAUGAAAGGUUUCAAUCCCAUUCCAAAAGAUGUAUCCUUAACUAAGUCUCUUGAAAGACCUUUUGUUAAAGGAUCCGCUAGGCUCUUAUUAGUCCUAACAUAAACAAUAUUAAUAACACCAUCUGCUAUUAAUUGUUUCACAUAUUCAUGUCUCAAGCUAAUAUGUCUAGACUUUCCAUUAUACACUUUAUUAUAAGCUCUAGACAAUGUAGCUUCACUAUCGCAGUGCAAAGAAAUAGAUGGCAUCGGUUGUGGCCACAAAAUUAUAUCAAACAACAAAUUUCUCAGCCAUUCUGCUUCCUUGCCUGCAGAUGCAAGUGCUAUAAACUCACUUUCCAUUGUUGAGUGAGUUAUGCACGUUUGUUUCUUUGAAGCCCAAGAAACCGCUCCUCCAGCAAUUGUAAAAAUCCAACCAGAAGUGGAUUUAUUAUCUCUUGUAUUAGUUACCCAACUAGCAUCUUGCUAGAGAUUGUAUUAAGGAUUUGUUAUAUCUUGGAGGUAAUUUACAAUUAAAACUCUUUAGCAAACCAAGAUUGGUGAGGGCAAAUAAAAUUUUAAAGGAAAGUGUGCAAACACGUCUCAAAUCCUAAGAAAUUUCUUUGUUCUUUGCCUCCAUAUCCGAAAAUCCACCAACAUGUCUGUCACACGUAAACGUACGUACAAGGUGUCAAAAGUUUUACCAAAUAAAUAAAAAUGAGUGAGAGAGAUUAUCAAUUAACUAAAACAAACAUACCAGCACAUCCUAGAUAGGGGUUUCCCUCAAAUCCAGCAUAAGCAGCGAUAACCUUCGCCAUUGUCAGAGUUUUUACAGUCAGUAUGAUUAGCGCAAGCAUAAACAGAUGAAUUUUGACUUACCACUGGGCACUUCUCUUCUUUAACUACCCAUUCUACCGUAACUUUCGAACUUAUUUCAUUAUCUGGGCUGUAAUCAGAGGAGCGCAACUCUGAUAAAUCAAAGUGCUCGUCUGCUAAAACUGCGUAAUCACACUGGAUGGUCUCCCCCGUUAACAUUCCACUGUAAUUAUAAGUGCUAUCAAGAGAUAUAUUAAGCGACUUGAGACUUUUGGCCAAUCCAAUCUGGCAGCAACCGAUACCAUGGCAGGAAUUAUGUUUGUUGUUCAAAGAGCUAAUAUCUCCCAAGCAUAUAGAACCGCAGAUACUCCCAAAGCUCCCAAAGCGGUCAGUCAUGGUGGCCGUCGUAUCGCAGCCGAAAGCCGUCAGCUUAUUUCUAGUGUCUGAAAAUCUGAAUGGUCUGCCGUCUCCUAGGUCGAAUUGAACGUUUGAAUAGUUCAACCGUCCGGAGCUAUUGUAGCAGCUUCGUGCUGUCCACAUGCUUGCGAUCAUGGAGCCAUCUUCAAUUGAUAUAUUAAGAACAACAAUAUUUCCAUACAUCAGUUUGGGCGGCGAGAAGCUUUUGUUACACUUCAGAGAGAAAUUAACGUUCAAAGCACACUUAGGGUCGUCAAUUCCGAAGGGAUAAGGAACAGUGAUACCUCCACAUUUUUCCUGGCAACCAGGCUUUGCAUUAUUCGAGCUGCUUGCUGCCGCUUGCCAAGACAAGAUCAGCAGCAUGAACCAAAGCUUCCACAUUUUUUUUUUUUGUUCCCUCAAUUAAUAUUGUUCACGAUUAAUUUUUUUUCUUUUCAAUAUGCUAUUGGCUCCUAAUCGAGAUCGCAUUGCAUUUUAUACAAAUGCAUUGUCCGAGAGGAACCAACUUAGAAAGUCUUGAGAGUCUUCGUUGACAUUAAGUCAUGCUCCUUAGCUGCAAAUUUUUCAAAAUCUUGUUUUCAUAAUUAUAAACGGAGCUAACCGUGUUAAAUACUCUUUCCUUUUUGUUUCUGUACGUAGGCCCCACGUACAAAAAAUUACUCAACCCUAGUAUAAACUACAUAUAGCUAGCGUUGUGUUACCAUAAAAUUUAAAAAUGUUACAACAAUUUAGAUGUUGUCAUAAGAUAAAAAUUAAGUAAACUAAGAUAAGAAAUUGGGCUUGUUAAUUACCUAAUGACGACGGAUUGAUGCUCUCAGUAUUGUUCAAGUUUCCAUGACUUUUUCUUAUAUCGAAAAAAAAAAGUGGAAUUAAAAAUAUAUUUUUCUCCAAAAUUAUUAGUGGGAGUAGAUUUCAGAGCUACUAUUAAUUUAUAGGCUACAUUAUAAGUAUAUUUAUUGUUAUGCAAGUUUUAAUGCACUUGCAAACGCACAAAUCUAUUGGAAUAUAGAGUAAAAAUAAAGAAGUUGAACCCAUUGUCAUUUUUACGGAAAGUCAAAUCUAAUUUGAAGUCUAAACUAACUAUGACUUUACUCUAGUUGAAAAAUAAAUAUUUGUUUGAAGAGAUUUAAUCUAAAGAUGCAAGUAAAAUUAAAAAAUAAAUAUCCAUUUGAUGCACAUAUAAAUUGUUCAAUGAAGCAAUUGCAAAUAGCACUCUUAUAGAAGUUAACCUAGCUACCGGAGCAUAUGUAUCGAAAUAGUCAAUACCAUUUCUUUGCUUAAACCCUUUGGCUACUAAUCUAGCCUUAAAAGUUUGCAAAGAACCAUCAUUAUUGUACUUUCUUCUAAAUACCCAUUUGCUGCUAAUUGGUUGAGAUCCUGGAGGAAGAUCAACCAAGACCCAUGUUUGAUUCGAUAUAAUUGAAUCAAUUUCAUCAUUUACCGCCUCUCUCCAAAAAGAAGCGUCUCUAGAAGACAUAGCCUCGCUAAAUGUCUUUGGAUCUUUUCAAUAUUUAACAACAAUGGUACUUUGUUAAGUACAUUCUUUCUAUCCCCUUCAACCAAGAAGAGUAGUGCUUGUGAUGAAAUAAAAUCCGGAGCUAAACUUUUUUCUUUCUUUUCACGUUGACUCCUCCUUAGUUCGAAAGAUGUCGUAGACUCUUUCCUUUUAUUAUUGUUAGUGGAGGUAACAGGAGUAUUAACACAUGGUUGAUCAAUAAUUGAUUCUGAUUCAAUAUUAUAAUCAUGUUGAAAUUUAUUCUCAAUAAAUUCAACAUAUCUAGAUUCCACAAUCAUAUUAGAAUCUAAAUCUAACAACCUAAGCCUUGGAAUUUUCAGCAUAUCCUACGAAAACACUUUUUAUACCUCUAGCACUCAACUUUGAUGACUUAGGGUCAUGUAUUUUAUAAAAGGCUAAACAACCCCAGACCCUUAAAUACAUCAAGUUUGGUUUUCUUCCUUUCCAAAUUUCAUAAGGAGAUAUAUGUGUUUUCAAAGAUGUAAUUCUGUUAUGAAUAUGACAUGCAGUGAGUAAUGCUUCCCCCCACAAAUUAUUUGGUAGUUUUGCAUUAAGGAUCAUGGAAUUUAUCAUAUCCGUGAAGAUCCUAUUCUUCCUUUCAGCCAAACCAUUUUGUUGAGGAGUAAAUGGAGCUGAUCUUUGGUGAAUAAUUCCAACUUCCUCACAAUAAUUAUUAAAUUCAAUUGAGAAAUAUUCACCACCUCUAUCACUACGAACCAUUUUGAUUUUCUUAUCUUUUUGGUUCUCAACUUCAGCUUUGAAAAUUUUAAAUUUAUCAAAAGCUUCACUUUUUGUUCUAAGUAAAUACACAUAAGUGUAUCUAGAACAAUCAUCAAUAAAAGUGAUGAAGUAUCUCUUACCUCCUCUUGUUAAAAUGCCAUUAUACUCACAAAUAUCAGUAUGUAUCAAAUCCAAUAUUUGAGUAUUUCGUUCAGCUUUAGGAAAAGGUUUCUUAGUUAUUUUAGCUUGGAUGCAGAUUUCACACUUAUGACCUUUAACAUCAUUGCAAUUAAUCAAACCAUGCUUAGACAUGUAUUUCAAAGAUCUAAAGUUCAAAUGUGCUAAUCUAGCAUGCCAAACAUCACAAGACUCAACAAUAUAAGCUAAGUUGAUAUUAUUAUUAUUAAUGCUGAGUUUGUACAUUUCAUCACAAGAAUACCCUUUCUCAACAAAUAAUCCAUUCUUUGACACAAUACAAGUAUUAUCCUCAAGCACAAUCUUAAGCUCAUGCUUACACAUACAACUAGCAGAAAUAAGAUUCUUCCUAACGGAAGGUACAUGAAAGACAUUAUACAAUGUGACUUUCUUUCCAGAAGUGAAGUUGAUCUCAACUACUCCUUUCCCUGCUACUAUGGCUGUAUUAUUGUUCCCCAUGAGAACUAUUUGUCCUUCCGUUUCUUCUUUGUAUGAUAAGAAAAAUUUCUUAUCAUUACAAACAUGAAUUGUUGCAGCCGAAUCGAGCCACCAAUCAUAGGACUUAGUUUCAGCCAUAUUUGUUUUUGUAAUCAUGCCAAUUUGCAUUUCAGAAACCAUAGCACAAAUCUCUUCAGAUUUGUUUUCAAUCACAUUAGCUUUAUGGGAAUUCACUUCUUCCUUUUUCUUCUUGAAUCUGCAAUCACUUUGGCGAUGUCCUUUCUUACCACAAAAGAAACAAUUUCCAGAAAAAUUUUGUGUGCUGGACUUUUUGAAUUUCUUGUCAUUCUUGACUUUAAAAUUCUUUGAGAAUUUACUAGCUUCAACAACAUUAACUUUAGUAUAAUCAUGCUUAUCCUUGGAUUCACGAGACCUAGUCUCUUCUUCAAUUACCAAGUGUUUUUUGCAAUUCUUCUAAAGUUAUGUUCUCUUUACUAUGAAGGAGUUUCUUUCUAUAAUCAUUCCAACUUUGAGGCAAUUUAGCAAUAAUAGCCCCAACUUGAAAUGAUUCAGAAAUUUCAACUUUUAACUCUCGAAGCUUAGCAACAAUAAUUUGUAACUCAUGUAUUUGAUCAAGAAUGGAUUUUGUAUCUACCAUAAUAAAAUCAAAAUAUUUAGAUACAAGAAAUUUGUCGGUACCUUCUUUCUCCGUUUUGUAUUUGUACUCAAGAGCAUUCCAAAUUUCCACCGGAGAAGUCAUAGAAUUGUAUAGAUCAUAUAACCUGUCAGAAAGCGUAUUGAAUAUGUGACCUCGGCACAUCAAUUCAUCAUCUUCACGACGUUUCCUUGCAGCCUUAACAACUUCGGUAUCAUCUUCUCUUGGUUCUGGAAAUGGUUCCAAUUUCGGAUCAAGAACAUAUGCCACUUUAAGAACAGUAAGAAGAAAGAACAAUUUUUCCUUCCAACGAGUGAAAUUAGUUCCAUCAAAACGAUCGAGAUGGACACUAGGAUUCAGAAAUGAUGUCAAACACUUCUCAGCCUCCAUUUGUAUAUAUAAAACCUUAAAGAUUGUUAAAGAGUAAUAAGAAUAUGGAGGCAAAGAACAAAGAAAAUUUCUUAGGAUUUGAGACGUGUUUGCACACUUUCCUUUAAGGUUUUAUUUGCCCUUUCCAAUCUUGGUUUGCUAUAAAGUAUUAAUGGCAAAUUACCCCCAAGAUAUAUCAAAUCCUGAAUACAAUCUCUAGCAAAUAAGAUUGUAUUUCCAGAACAUAUAUGAAACCUGCAAAAUCUGAUGAUAUUACCAAAAUGUGUAUAUUUCUUUUAUGAAGAAGAUGUUAAUUCAAAAGAAUGCAACCAUUCGAAAUGGUACUUCUUAAAAAAAAACUCUUUUGGUUUGAAUUUGCAACGAUUAACACUUGAAAUUUUCAAGCUUGUCAACCGUUUUCCAGUUGACGCCUUUCUGGAAAUAAACGGUUAACCGUUUUCUCAAUAAAAGGUGAGCCGUUUUAUUCUAAAAUGUCAAAUAUGUUGCCCUCUGUACAUAAACGGUUAACCGUUUUCUCAAUAACCGGUGAGCCGUUUUCUCUAGACCAUAAAACAUGCUCUCUGGAGUUAAACGGUUAGCCGUUUUCUCCAUAAACGGUGAGCCAUUUUCUCUAAACCAUAAAACAUGCUCUCUGGAGUUAAACGGUUAGCCGUUUUCUCCAUAAACGGUGAGCCAUUUUCUCUAAACCAUAAAACAUGCUCUCUGGAGUUAAACGGUUAGCCGUUUUCUCCAUAAACAGCAAACCGUUUUUGUCCAGAAUAUCAAACCAAAUAUUAAAAAUGUUACAAUCUCUCUUACAAUUUAAAUAAUAGCUUGUGCUGAUCAAUUAAUUGACUAAAAGUAGUUAUUAGGGAGAUUCGUUUAUUCUUUAACUAGUAAUUAAUAUAAAUGAAGAGGGACGGGCCGUAAGGAAUUGAUUCUAUAAUAAUGUUUAUAGUGAUAAGAUCGAGUCAACUGAAAAUAAAUUAUAAAUAAGCUAAGUAUGGUCAUUUUUAGGUAAAACUUAUUAAAAUUAAGGAAAGUGAUUAGGCAGAAAGUAAUCAAAAUUAUGAAACUCAUCAUCCUAACAUACAAAUAUUUAUACACACUUAUAUUAUAUAUAACUCGUACGGCCAUACGUGUUUGUUAACAUAGCAGGACCCUUGUAUUCGACAUGUCAACUAUAAAAAUGAUGAUAAUAACAGCUAUAUCUUUUUAAUUUGAUGCUACGGAUGUUAUGUUGAUUCAUUUUUCAUAAAAAGAAAGGUCAGCUACUAUGCAAUAACUAGUUACAGUAAAGUAGUAAAUAAUAGAUAGACGAUAAUGUAUGGCUCAAAUCCAUAUUUUAAAACCUGUAGAAAUUUACACUUAAAAUUUUUUAUAGGACUAUUAGAAUACUAUAUAAACUACUACAUUUUCGGUAAUUGAUAACUCAUUUAUUGGCAUUGAUAGACCAUGUCAUGAUUUUGUAAAGUCUUUCAGCUUUUUAUCAACUCAUGAUUUAUUAAAUAAAGCAAAUUAUGUCUGGAAAUGUGAAAGAAACUAAAAGCAAUUGUCGAAAGAAGAUGAUCGAGAAAGGAACGUUUGUAUUUCAUGUAAUUGUACAUUCCUUCGAUCGGUAACCGAAGAAGGUCAAAGCCAAAUAGAAAGUUGAGUCCAAAUUCAGUUCACAUUCACUAGAGCUUUCGUUCCAAAAUUCCAUUAAUGGACAAAGGACAGAACGAGCAGAAAGUGCCAACUUACAUACCCACGAUAUAAAUUUAAUGGUGACCGGGCUUGGCUUUCCUUUUCCCGUUUACCACACUUGUCUCUUUUUCUCCUCCUCUACUCAUUACCAUUUCUGAAUCUUUCCGCUCCUUCAAUUCUCCCAAUUUUAUUUUUAUUACUUAUUUAUGAAGCCCACUGGCCUCUUAUUAAGCCCAAUAACAAAUCAUUUUGAGCCCGCAUGCUGGAGAUCCUGGCUGGAAUUUAGCCCACAGGUUUUCCAUUUUUGCAAUCUUCUCAUGUUAUAAAUGGUUAGAAAAACUUUUUCAGCCCAAAAAAAAAAAAGGUUAGAUAAACAUAUAUGCAUAGUAACUUUGGAAAUCUUUUGAUAAUUUGGAACCAUGUUGUUACUUUUAUGCCAAUUAGUAUAAGACAAGAGGGUGCCAUGUCCCCUGCAUAAUUUUAAAAAAAUUUAGAGUUUAUAAAUAAAAUAUAAAAAGUUAGUGUAAAAUGUUCAUAUUAGCCCCUGCACAAUUAAUGUAUAAAGUUAAUAAAUUAGAUAAUAUUAUAAUUUUACCGUUAAGUCAACUAAUGAUAGCAUCAAAAUAAUAAGAAACAAAUCAGCCAAACCCACUAAAGUUCACUAAUUCUCUAAUAUAUAAUAAUAUAAAAAUUAGAAGCUCAAAUUUGGCCCCCAUAGAAUUUUUCCCUGAGCUCCGCCCCUGUUUAACUGUCAAGAAAAAGUAAUUAAGCAUUAAGCAUAGGUGGAUUAGAUAACAUGAGCAAUUAGUUGUCAAGGUAAAAACUUUAGUUAUUGUGAUUUCGUGCAGCCCAGCAGUCUAGUAAACUUAGUUUGGGGUACACAUCAUUUCUACAUGUAAUUCCCUCCUUAGUCAUGUUUAUUUUAUUUGCUUUGUGAGCUAUUUUAUUAGAAGAUAUUUGUUAAUGUUGACACAGGAAAAGUGACAGUGUACUCAAUGGAGCCAAUCCACAGAGAGGAAGGUGUUUCACAUGUUAGGUUUCAAUCAAUCCCAAUAACGGGCAAAGGUUCUUGACCAGAGCUUUCAUGCAGCACAAGAAAUUGAUAGUCCACAUGCUCCCGCACCAGAAUCCUUAUAAGCCACCCAACACGCACUAAUCUUUUCCUCUUCCUUUUUUCCUGGAAGUGACGAAACUGAAGAUAUUUUAAGAAUAAUUGUGAUUCGGAUUACUAUAUUUGUAAGCAUUAUCUUCUAAUGGCAUAAAGAUGUCGGUCCCAUUUGAAAGAGUCAGGAAAUGGCCAAUUUGAGUCGAUUACAGAACAAUCUUCUGUCAUAUAUUCUCGGUAGUUGGAACAACACUAUCGUCAUAACUUGCAACAGAUACUGAUUCCAACACUUUAGUUUAGAAUAAGGCCGUAUUAAGAUUGUGUAGUAGUUGUUGCAAUAGCAUAUUUGAUAAAUACUAUACCAGCUCUGAUUUAAAAAUUAAAUUGAUUUGAUUCCUCGCUUGUAUCAUGAAAACUGAUAAUAUCUUUAUUUUUUUUAUUAAAAUUAUUAUUUAAAAGUUACAUUCACUACACAUUAUUAACUUUUAUUUUAUAGUUAUAAUUUUUUUUAUAACAACUGUAAUUUAAAGUUUUAACACCUCAAUACCAAAUAAAGAUUAAGUUAACAAAUUGUCAUUUUCGGAUCUAUAUAUAUAAAACUUAUGAAUUUGUUAGCCCACGUCAAAAGUGAUGAGGUGGCUUUCUAUCCUCAUAGUUUCGUUUUAAAUUUUCUACAACAUUUAAAAAAAUUUCAUUUAAACAAAAUCUUUAGGAGAUUAGAUGAUAUGUUAAAGAAUUAUAUUUGCAUCACAGUUGUAAACUUGUUUUUGGCUAAGCAUCAACGGCAUGAAAGAAAAUUUUAUUAAUAAAAAAUGAAUUAUAGUUCUGAACCACAUCUGCUUCUUAUAUGAUAAACUGUCAAUUGAGCAUCAUCAGAGAUUAUUAACAUUAAUAAUAAUUAAAUGAAUAAAUUUGAAAAAGGCAAAUUAGUGAUGAUCUAAGGUGAGAACAUUCACUGUUACCUAUGCAUCUGGGUACCUUGUUAUGAUACAUAGCAUAUAACAAACGAUCCUCAUUGAAAUAAUAUUUGUUACAUAAUUAUGUAAGUUAACCCCGACCUGCCUUUGGCCAUGUGAUAAUAAAUGCUAUAAUCAUAUUAAUUUAAAUUGUCGAUAUAUCCUUGGCUUAAGGUGCAACAAUUAAGCUUAUAGCUAGUAAGUUGUAGUUGUUAAAUAAAAGGGGGAGUUUAUGAAUUUACUUUUUGUUGCACAUUGAUACGAGAAUGAUAAGAAAAUUGUCCAGUAAAAGUAGCCCUCAACCAAACACUCUAGACCUUCUUCAAAGUUUUUUUUUUUUUUUAUAAUAUUAAACCAUCCCGACUAAUUCAGAUUCGAGUCGAAUACGACCACUAGGGCUGCAAAACUCUCCCAACAAGUAUUUAAUGCAGCUGCAUUCCCAAACCUUAAACCGAAGACCUUAAUUAAGGUAAAACGACCAUAUACCAGUUGAUCUACGCGUUUGUUGGUACCUUUUUCAAAGUUUAAUAAAGCAAAAUAGCUCCAGAUACAGUUUUAGUUGCACAUUAAGACAAUGAUAAGAAAAUGAACACAGAGAAAGAGGAGAAUAAGUAAAGCUAACCAAAACUGAGAUUAAUUGUUGGGAACAAAAUGGUUAGCAUAAAAGUUGAAAACUAGUCUCUCUUGCAUUGCAGCACUUGAGAGCUAACACAUGAAUUGUGUUGAAGGUCUCACUUGUAUCGCCUUCCAAACUUAACAUCCCACGGGGCCAAAACUGUGUGAACAACAAACACAUUCUGUCGUUUUAUUUUUAAUAAUUAAUACCCGACUUUGUUAAUUCCAUUAUAUGUAUAUAUACAUCAAUCACAUACAAGAAACAAUUCAGCUUGUAUAUUGUGCAUGAUCUUUGCACCUCUUUGUCUGCGUUAUUUAAGACUCAAAGUUUCUGACCUAUCAAUUUUCCAAGAGAGCUAAUGAAAGGUUGAUCAUGAAAAUGAAUCCUUGUUUUGAUAAGCAAUCAUGUUCUGAAAUAUCAACUUGUGCAUCAACCAGCGGCCAGUCUGGGGAUGAUCCAGAGACGGGCUCAAAUGCAAUGUCGAUAAGGAACAAGGGUUUACUCUGCAUUCCACAUGAUAUUGAUCUAAACCCUGCACGCAUGGUAAGAAAAAUAAUAAUAAUAAUAAUAAUAAGCCUCUAAUUUUCAUCUUUCUCUUGUGGGCACGAACCACAUUUGGCCUAGGCAUUCUUUUUGUAUACAAAGUAAAGAUCUACCACUUUGAAGAUCUUAUAGUAAAGGCGUAUUAAGUAAGACUCUAAUCACAGAGGCGGCAUAAGUUAAUUGGUAACAUGCUUGAAACUCAGAACGUUUCUAGGCAUUGCACAAGAAUCGGGCAUACAAUUUCCUUGCCAGAAUAUAUAUGUAGGAAGUGAUUAGAGUUUGAUAAAAUGCAGGUUAUAGCAGAGCUGGUGGGGACUUUCAUAUUGAUGUUGUGUGUGUGUGGGAUCAUGGCAAGCACAGUUUUGACAAGAGGAGAAGUGGGACUCCUGGAAUAUGCAGCCACAGCAGGGCUAACAAUAAUCGUUUUGGUUUACAGUAUAGGGCCAAUCUCAGGUGCACAUGUUAAUCCUGCCGUCACUAUUGCUUUUGCAGUCGUCGGUCAUUUUCCUUUGUCGAAGGUAACUUUUAUUAAUUACACAAAUUCUACUCUUUAAUAAGAGUGAUCAAGUAACAAACUUGAAACUGAUAAUUAUUUGCUUAAUUAACAGGUUCCAUUUUAUAUAAUGGCUCAAACAGCGGGUUCUGUGUUGGGAACAUACAUUGGAAUAUUAGUGUAUGGCAUAAAAUCUAAUCUCAUGAUCACUAGACCAGCUCAACACUGCGUUUCUGCCUUCUGGGUUGAGCUCCUUGCCACUUCCAUUAUUGUGUUCCUCGCCGCAUCAUUGGCCUGUGAAGCUCAAUGCGUAAGCUGAACUUUCCACAUGCAUUAAUGUGACUCAAAUCAGUUUCUAUACUUUUUUUUAUAGAGAAAAAGAUUAAUGCUGAUAACUUGGAUUUUGAAUUAAAAAAACUGCAGUUUGGCAAUUUAUCAGGAUUUGUUGUCGGAGUAGCGAUUGGACUUGCAGUGCUUAUUACAGGGUAAGUACCAAGAAACAUAACAUUGGACUAUUUCUUGGAAGCACUUUUUUUCAUUUCUUAACUUGUUGCCUUCAUAUUUCAGGCCUGUUUCCGGAGGAUCAAUGAAUCCUGCAAGAUCACUAGGACCCGCAAUUGUGUCCUGGAACUUCAGCGACAUAUGGAUUUAUAUCAUUGGCCCCACAAUUGGAGCUGUAGCAGGCGGUUUCGUGUAUCGUUUUCUCCGUCUCCGGCCCCGGGCUUGUAGCCCCAGCACUUCCCCUAACACCAGUCUACUUAGUCACUCCUUUAUGUUUGUUAGGUGACAGUUCAAAAGCCAUAUCUGAGUGUGCUUGAACAGCUGUUUAUUAGGUAAAUUUAUCUACCAAAUUGUAUUUUCAGAUUUGGAAUCAACAGAAUAAAUUUAUUUUAAGUGUUGAUAGCCCUUGGUGCUUUGUGAUAUUGUCAGUUAAAAUAGAAUUAAAUUGAACCCACCAUUUUACUGUGAUACAGGAUCUUUCUCAUCAGAAUAUUUAACUAUGUAUUAUUACAUGAUGCAUUUCCGUGAUGUGUAUGUGCAUUAAUGCGCGAAGCAGUCACUCUCGAAAAAUAUUAUUGGGCCAACAUAUGGAAUCGAGGCCUUUUUCGGUAAGGAAAUAAUCCUCUUUAUAAAAGAAAAAGAAAAUCAUAUUCCCAUCAAAUAAGUUUGUCAUAAUAAUAUAAAAUUAAGUGAUAUAAAUUUCAAUUUUAUUUGACUAGUUACCUGUGUUCAAAUUUUAUAAAGAUGAAGGGCUAAAAUAUAAAUAGAUAUUUUUAUAAAUAUUUUUAAGUUUAAAUUAUCAAGACAAUCCACUUAUUUUUCAGAAGAAUUUUAAAAUACAUAUGAGGUAAUAUAAUCAAUUAAUAUAUACAUAAUAUAUAUAAUUGAUUUAUAUAUAAUCAUCAGUCAUACGCUGAUUCUUUAAAAUAAAUACACGAUAACAUUAUUUAUUUAUUUAUUAUAUAACUAACAUAAUAUCUAAAAGAUAUUUUUAAAUUUCUCAUAAAUUUAAAUAAAUUAAUCUAUUCAAUAAUAGUUUGGAAUGACGUGCGUUCAAAAUUUAAUUGUAAGAUUCUCGUUGAAUCAUAAAUCAUUAUCGAAACUUUAUCCAUAUUAAAAAUUGUAGACAUCGGCAAGCAAUAAGAAAAAUAUUUGAACUUCAUUAUCAAAGUUUGCCCGUAUUGAUUAAUGAGUCUUUGUUUUAAUAAGAGAAAUUUCACACUUAUAAAAUUGAGUGUAAGGGUUCGAAUUUUCGUAAGAGUAUUAUAGAGAUUAGUUUCAGUAUUUUCUCAAUUAUUAAUUAAUUGAGUAAAAACAAUUUAUUUUUUAUAAAAUAUAAAUAAGAUAGACACCCGUUAACAUUCAAAUAUUAAAGAAUUUAUCUUAUUAUUUUCCUGGUUGCGUUAUGUCAGGUCAUGUCAACAUGAUGGUUAUGGGCACCACCCACCGUAAUCAGAAAGACGGAAACGAAACCCUAGUGGAGGAUUUGUGUCAGCCUACGUGUAAACAAUAUGAUAAUUAUAAACAAUUGAUAAGGAUAAUACUAUACGCAUUAUUAAUCAAAUUUCCAUAACAAAAAGAGAUGGGGUCUUCUCGAUUCCCCAAAAUUUUAUUCAACCAUUCCAAAAUGCAACUGAAUGGCCGCUUUGAUUAGACCAAGGAAUUGUCUAGAAAGCUUAGAAUUAUUUAAAAAAUUAAAAAAUGAAAUUAUAUUUUAAAAAAUUCAAGAUUUUUUUCGUUUCAUGAUAGUGUAAUCAAUAAACAAGAAUCUAGAAUGCACUACAAAUUUGUAAGAAUCAAUUAUUUGGUUGAGUGAUUUUUUCUUUUAGUAUCUUAAGAUAUUUUAUGUGCUUCACCAAAAACAAAAAACAAAAAUUAUGUGCCUUUUUUUUUUUUUUUCAAUCUCUAAUCAUACUACCAGACAUAUACCCAACACCAUCCCACCUUAAAUUAAACAAAUUAAGUUUCGCUAUCUGAAUUUAAAAAUUUUACUCGAGAUCAUAUUUUAUGGGUCACUCCUCUAUUUAAGGUUAAAAAAGAAAAAUAAAUAAUAAUUUCAAGCACCAACAAGCGGCAGAUACACUACUCCAUGUAAAUAAAAGACAUGCAGUAGGAUACAAAUGCCUGAAGAUAAUCUGUCUUCCCAACACACUGGAUAUGAUGCAACAAUUUGACAAAGUUGAACCAUUUCUAAUUGGCUUAUUAAUUCUACUUUUUGAUUUUUUUUUUUUUCUUUAACUACGUAACAAAGAAAUUAAGAGCGACAUUUAAAUAAUUAAACAGUAUCAGUGCCCCAUUUAGUACGCUGAGACUUUAGGCCCAUCAACUCAACUUCAAAAGUAACCUUAAAAGUAUUAGAAUCCAAAGUAUACAAAAUCUUCAACUGUAAAAAAAAUACUUAUGACUUAUGAGGCAGCACUCACCCCACCCUAAAUGACUAGUUUAUAUAUCACUGAUGACGAAAAAGAAAACAAUAAAUUAAAGAACAAAAUUCUGAAUACGUUAUUAAUAAAAAAAAAUUAUGUAGCUUUAUUAAGGCUUUACUUCCUUUUAAUACUAGGAAUAAUAAAAUAAAAUAAUCCUAAGGAUGUAUAAUUUCUAGAACACUAGAUGAACUUCGAAUUGAUAUUGUUUUCAAUGCAUAAAACAUCAAAAUUUGGUGAAAAUACCGUAAACUUUACAACUACGAAAUUUAUUUGUCUCAUUGUAAGUUAGUGAUAGUCACAAAUAGUAUACCGUCCAUUCAAAUCCGACAUCUCAAGUUUCACCAUAUCAAAAUUAUCUUCAACACACAAAAUCAUACAUUAAUUAAUUAAUUCAUUGUUUGAUUUAAAUGAUUACAAGUUCUAAAUUGUACAGAUUAAAGACUACUACAAAGUCUUUGUGCAAUCUAUCAAACAAUUUGAUUGACAUUCCAAUUUCCAAAUGGGAAUUCGUAUAAGAAUGAUUCUUGGCCAUAUGAAAUCUGAGGUAUCUUUCAAUAUUCUUGGCACCUCAAAAUCUGUUUCCCAAAAUUGUGUAUGGUGGAGAUGAUGCCCGGCCCCAAGGUCAAUGGAGAUUUUAAAGAAGUUGUGGCCAUCGCUUUGCCCUUGACAUAUUAUGAUUUUUGCGCAAUGUUUUUAUCGUUUGUGCGCAACAAGUGGUUGUGCUUUUGCAACUUUUUCCCUUUGUUCAUUAUUAUCCAACUUUCUCUUGUUUGUAUUAUAAAAUUGUUACUUAAUUUGUACAUCAACAUUUCAACGUCACAAUUGGACCCAAAGCCACUCCUCACCAACUAUUUCCUAUCAUACUUGUUGUUAAGUUAUUCAUUAACAACAUAUUAGACCUCGAAGUUUUAAUUAUUGAUCUAUGAUUAGUUUUUUCAAUCAAUAUUCUUCUUAAUUUAUACAUUUCACAAUCUUCAUUAGGUUAGAUAAUGUUAAUCCGCAAUUUUUAUUUUAUUUGGCCAAUUUGUUUGGUAAGAAAUACAUAUGGGACUGGUUUAAAGUGCCCAUUGAUUGUGAUGCAAUACAAGAUAUUUACAUCUUAUGAAUUUCCCUGUCCAUAAUAAAUUAGCUAAUUAAGAUCUCAAUAGUAGGUUACACUCAAUAAAUUAAAAAGGAAAAAAAUCUCUCUUUACUUAUAGGAUUUAAUGCAAUAGUCCAUUUCAUUCUUACUUUUUAAGCAAUAGCGCAUUUCAUUCUUCUUUUUCAAACAAUAACCCAAAACAACCUUCUAUAAAUUUACAAUUAGUUUAUUCUAUAAUUCAUUGUGGGCAAAAUAAAAUUUUCAAUUAAAUAAAUACAAAUCAUUUUAAAAUAAAACUUUCAAGAACAAUUAAAUAACAUUUGACUUUCUACAUAAACUUAAAAUUUAAGGGUGGUGGUAAUAAUAAUAAUAAUAAUAUUUCAAUCAUGAAUCAUUUUCCAUAUUAAAGUCAAGGAUAAGCUAAAAGAUUAAAAAAAAAAAACACUCCUAUGUAGACCAUUUUAUUCUGUAGUAUAUUUAAUGUGUUUUUAUGUUUUUAGUGUGUAUUUUUUUUAAAUAAAUGAAGAAGUUUGUGUUUACUUUGAUAGAAUAACAAUAUUGAUUGAUUAUUUAUUUUUUUAUCUUGACCAUACUAAAGUUAAGGACAAGCUAAAGAAAAAAAGAAUUACUCUAGUGCCUGUGAAAUUUAUGUUUUUUUUAUUUGUUCUAAAUUUAAAGAUAACUUAAUAAAUAAAUAAUAAUAACACUAAAUAAUAUUAAAUUAAUUAAAUAAUAAGAAUGAAAUGAAUUAUUAUAUUAAAUUUAGGGGUGAAAAGAGUAUUCUUUUAAUUAAAAAUUUUACACCCGUUCUGUUCUUCCUUAGCCGUUACUAAGUGCUCGUCUUGCACCAAAAAAAAAAAAAAAAACUAUAUAAGUGCGAGCUGUUGUGUUACACUCACAAAUUAGUUGAACAAAAAAAUUAAACAUAAUUCCACGCUAUUGUAUCGACUUUGAAAUUUUUUUAUUUUAUUUUUUGGUGGGGAGAAUUGAUUGAUUGAAAGGUUAGAAACUAAAGCAAGUUCCAUUAUAAGUUAUGUUUCAAUUACCCAUUACAUCCUCAAAUCAAUUUUAUACAUAAAAUAAUAAAGAUUUUACAUUUUCUUCAGUCUUAUCCCCCAAACUUAGAAAAAUCCUUGUAGGUAAGAAAAUAAAUUUCGAUCAUUAAGAUUAAAGAAAAUGCCCUUCCAAAAAGAGAAAGUGAAAAAGAAAUGGAAUCACGCAAGCAAUCAAAAUUCCAAAACCGUGGAGCCAGAGAUAAAACCAUGGGCGAAGCUGUCCCACUGAAUUAGCAUUCACAUUACACGUCAUUAAUUAUUUUUUAAAGUGCUUUUUUAUUUUGUUGGAAUUUUUUAAAGUUCAUCUGCAAGAUUCUCUUUUCAAUACUCCUCCAUUUUUAGGUGGGGCUUAAUGUUUAAACCGCUUGAUUAGACCGGACGAAAAUUUCAACCAAGCCCCAUCACAUUUGAUGCGCAUCACAAUCCAAUGGUCCAUCAACCAAAGCCAUCAAAAUCCGACACGGCCAAUUAAUUUGUCAAAAUCCGAUGCAAAUCAAUGAAUUUAGAUACUUAAAUUAUAUUGAUUAAUUAUAUUUUAAUUAAUGGAAUUGUAUUUUGUUAUACAUUUAAAACUCAAUUAUUUAAAAAUUUUAUUAAGAAAAAAGUGAUUUGUUACAAUAUGAUUAUACUUUUUUAUUAAAUAUAUUAAAUUUUGUUAAAGAGAUAGACAUAAUAAUAAAUAAAUAAAUGGCAUUAAAGUUUGAAAUUAUUAAUACCAUCAAUAAAUUGAUCACGUGGCCAUAGCCACCUUAGAGUUGCUCUAAGGUAGAAUACGAAUUAUAACCACAUAAGUAAAGUUAUAAAUAGUAAAAAAAUAUAUCAUAACCUUAAUCAUAUAGUUACAAAGAAGUGUUCUACCUUAAAGUGAUUUUAACAUAGUAAAACCCUUUGACCUUAAAGCGAUUCUACCUUAAAACUUAAACCGAUUCCAACAUAAUCGAAUCACGAAUACAUUUGUGUUAGCUUAAACAUUUGUGUUAGCUUAAAUUUAAAACACCGACAAACACAACCAUUAAUCUAAAUUGCCACCACCUACAGAUUACCCUCUCUAGAUAGCUCGGUCCGACGUUAAGUCAUUAUCCACCGCGUCUCAUCACAUCCUGGCCGUAGUUAGGGAUGGCAAUGGGGAGGGGAGGGGAGGGGAGGGGACCAAUCUCUGCUGUACGGCCAAGGCGGAUGUACGGUACAGCAGACAAAGAUCAAUGACAAUGAGUUCUUGAUAGCCAUUUCCCUCUAAUUUCCACUUUUUUGUGUUCUUUUUUAAUUGUGUAUAUGUUUCUUCCUUCUUUUUUCUCUUUCUUUUUCUUUUACUUUUUGUUGGAUGUGAUAAUUUACUGAAUUUUUAGUCUGUAUAUAUACUGUUUAUGACUAGGUUGUUAGCUAGUCUCUUUAUGGCCCUUAAGUUUUAUAAUUAAUUAAGGUUGUGAUAUGUUUCUGCUGUACCGUACAUCCGCCUUGGCCGUACAGCAGUUUCUUUUUUUAAAUUCCAAUUUCAUUUUUACCGACUUUAUUUAGGACUUUAAUUAGUUAAUUAAGCCUAAAAGUUUAAUAAUAUAAAUAUUUUGAUAUUUUUUAUUUUUACCAAUAUUUAUAAUUUAAAUUUUAUAAUUUAUUUACUAGUAAUUUUAAAAAAGUAAAAUAAAAUUAAAAAUUAAAAUGGGGAAAUGGGUAGGGGAUGGGGAUUCCACCUCAUCCCCGUCCCCUCCCCGAAUAAAAAAUUGGGUAAAAAAUUUUCCCCGUCCCCUCCCCGAAAAAAAAAUUGGGUAUAAAAUUAUCCCCGUACCCUCCCCGAAUGGGGAAAAUCCCCGAGGGUACCCGUCCCCGUGGGGAUUUUUGCCAUCCCUAGCCGUAGUCGAUGGCCCAAAAUUUCGAUCACGAUAAGAUUGGAGUGAAAUUAGAGAAUUUAUCCAUCUCGGAUUCAUUGUUAGAUAUUUACCCAAAAAAAAAAAAAAAACAACAUUUGUCAAUAUUUCUGCUGACGAUAAUUACAAAAAUUAAUUCAUUUUCUUAACAUAUUCAAUACAAUCUUUGGAUUCCUGAUUGAGAAAAGUUCCUUGUUAGGAAGGGAAUAUAAAAUUUAAAAAAAAAAUAAUCAACUAAAUAUUCCUUUUGCUUUGAGGUGACUAGGACGACAUGCAUUUGGUUAACUUAAUAGUUAUGUUAAAAGAUUAAGAAAAAAAAAUAAUCCUUAGCAUGUGGAAUCGGCAGUCUUGGUCGUCUCUUCAGGUGUAAAUUCGAAGUUUAAAAUAAUAAAGAAGUUUUGAUGCUCAGAGCCCACACUAAGUGCCACUUUGUAGAAAUUAUUAAUUUAGGUUCAAGUUGCUCGCAGAACACAGGAAACUCUAGACUGCAUCCAUGGUUUUGUUUGCUUGGAGUUUGAACAGAGAUAAAAUAAUUUGUCUAGAAUGCAAGGAGGAAGCAAAUGAAUGAAUAUUUGCUUUCUAUUUUUGUAGCCAAAUUGAAUAAGAACACUUAUAAUUAUGUACUUUUCAACUUUUGAAGCUGGAAUCUGAAAUGUUUUAUGUAGUAGAAAUUUCUUGGAGUCUCUUUUGAUUGAUUCCAUGGUAUUUACUAAUUUUGUUAACGAGAAACAUUUGAUUGGUCUCCAAUAAAUCCACAAACUCAUUAAAGAGUUCGUGAUUGCGAGGGAAACAUAUAUACGUGCACGUUAAGAACAACUGAUUUGGAAAAAGAUUUACCAAUAUGUAAGGGAACAAACUGGAUAAUUCUAUAAUCUCUUUUUAACUUCAUAAUCGACUUCUCAUGCGCAUUCAAAUAUAUUUCCGAACACAACCUUUUUUCCGAAGCACAUAAAUUAAGUACCUUAUUUUUUUUUAAUACUGUUAUACAAGACUGUUACUAAUAUUACAUUAGAUAUUACAAAUAUUAUUUACCAACAAAUUAUACAAUUGAAACAUUCUUCGUAGCAUGUACUCCUCUGAAGCACUGCCCAAAUUCUUUAAAUUCUCUUAAAUGUUCGAGAGUUGUCCACUCUAUUUACAUUUCGUGAAGGAUAGACUGGCCCCACUCAAUUAUUUGAUAAUUGAGAGAAUAUUGAAAUUAACCCCCAUAAUACUUUUAUGGAGGCUCAAAUUUUUACACUCAAUAUUAUAAGUGCAAAAAUUCUCCUACUGUUGAGUACAUAAAGGCACCAGGUCGGCCAUGCUACUGGUUCCGCCCCGGCACGGAUCGUUUCAGCUAUAUGGUACGAGCAGAACACGAGGUUAAACAGGAGCCGACCCGAGAUGAAUGCGACCAGGAAAACAUACCGACCAGAAGUAUACGCCGAGCCGAUACUCAUCCCCAGGAAAGCGGGAACACGAUCUCACAAAAUCGCGGUAGUUGCGCUUCUCCCAGAACGGUUGAAGGACACGCGAGAUCCACGUUUGCCCACAAUCUAACAGUUAGAGUCCCAUGAGGGGCUACCACCACCCGAAAAAGGAGGAAUCAGGGGCAAACGAAAAACGUGGGACAAAGGGCGGCUAUAAAAAAGAAAGACAUCGAAGAAGACAAGGGAGAAAAAAAUUAAGAGAGGGAAAACGCUGCCAAAUUGCAACGAGACUAUUUUCUUACAGAUCUCGAACAAACUUCUUGAACCCAAAUUAUAUUGUUUUCCCGUAAACACCUUGUGCUAACUUAGGCAUCGGAGGGUUUACGCCGGCAAAACCACCGGCGUCUCUGAUCCAUUUUUGGUGAACGCAGGUCUAGUGAGAGAAAGGAGGGUGAUCCCGGCCUUAGUGGUUCGAGCAACAGUCGAUAACUUAAGCGUUGGUGAAAGAAUCUGGUCGGUCCAAGGACGAGCAGAUCUCAGCAUCAACACCUACUGGACCAAAGACCCAUUGAUAAUUAAGUAGGUUAAUUACGUUACCAGUCUAAUGACCAUUUUUAUGCUUUAAUAUUUGGCAAGAGAAGCAUAAGCUUCGAUUUGGUAAGACCUUAAGCAAACUCACCAGGCAUAGUACACCUGUGACAGCAGCGUCAUCAGCCACAAAACCUCCAAGUCCAUUUGAGCAGGAUAGGAAUUUUGAUUUCAUCACCUCAUCCAACAUCCAUUGUCUUGGUCACUCUCAUUCAUCCCAAGUAGAAACCAAAUGCAAUGUCAACCAAAUCAAUUCGGUUCCGUCAAACAAAGGAUUUCCUAUGAUGUAAUUACAUCCGUUCGUUAUUAAGAUUAAUAAUUAUAUCUUAAAAGUUAUCUAUGCAAUGUCUGAUAAAAACUUAAGUGUUUUUUUUUUUAUCUGAAAAUUUGAAUGAACUUGAAUAAGUUUGAAUUAUGAAUAAAAUUGAAUUUUGAAUGUUUCAAUUUGAAUGAUAUAUUUUUUGACAUGAAUUACUAAAAAUAUAUAUUAAGUUGUUUAUUUUUUAACUAAAAAAAAUCUAAAAUCUACUAUUUUUACAUUUGUGCUUUACAAAUUAUAAAUGUUUAACAGAUGAAAAACAUUUCAAAGAAUUUAAAUAAGAUAAUAAAGUAUCAUAAUAUAAAUCAUGUUCAGUUAAAUACAACCCUUUAUAUUUUAAAUUAAUAUAUGUUAAUAAAUUUUAUUGUAGUUUAUAAUGCUUUUAAAUGAAGAAUAUAAAUAAAAAAUUAUGAAAAUGAAUUAAUGCUAUCUUGUAGAAAUAAAAAUGAUAAUAAUUUACCAUUUCAUUAUCAAAAGUUAUAGAGAUGGGAAAUAAUGCUAAUCAUUAAAUGUUAUUUAGGUAAAGAUAAAAAUUAAUUAAUUAAAUAGAAAUAUUUUAGAAAUUUUUUUUGAUAACAUCAUUCAGACUUUUUAGAUUGAAUAAAAAACUAAAAAAAUUGUUUAAUAACUCAAUGAUUAAAAAUUUUCAUUAGGUUAAAAAGAUAAAUGAUCGUAAUAACUUUCUUGAUUGAACAAAUAACUUUUUAUUAUUGUAAUUUAAAAAUUAAAUUAAAUGAUUUGAUUCUACUAUUAUAUGGCAGAAAAAUUUAUAGUAACGUAGCUAUUAAAAUUAUUUUUAAAAAUUAUAUUUAUUUCGCACUCUCAAAUUUAAUUACCUGGAUAACCUCAAAUCAAUGGCCUUCAUUUCCCCUUAAAAAAAAAAAAUCGAACGAUUAACAAGUGUUCAUGAAUAGUCCACCAAACAUUAACUCUCUGGUCGUUACUUCACCGGAUAAAAAGUUCUCUUCACGGUUGCUGAGGCGGCUUUAGCGGCUUGACACAUAAUUACGCUUAGCUAGAAGACAAACCAUCAUGUGGGCCCCACACAUCACUACACGUCAUCAUCCACGCUCAAGAAUUAUCGUCCACAUGCUGGGACCCACACGUCGCCAUACCAUCUCUACUUCCAUUGGACGAUAAAACAAAUAAAAAUUAAAAAGCCAAAUAAAUAUCUCCUCAAAUGACGAAACUACCCUCGCCUAUCUUCCUAUAAAUUGAAAUGCAUCCUCUUUAGCUCGGAAUCCCAAGUCCGAGCUUUGAACUUUCCAGUUAAAGCCAAAGAGUUCCGAACGGAUCAAAGUUUUCUUGUAGGAGAGAGAAAUUUCUAGGGCGAGAAAGCGAGAGAAAAGGAAAUUUGGUAGCUUAAAAUGUUGGGAGUGUUCAGCAGCGCGAUCGUUUCACCUCCAGAGGAGCUGGUGGCGGCCGGAAGCCGGACUCCGUCGCCGAAGACCACAUCGACGGCACUGGUCGACCGUUUCCUCCAGACCAACUCGUCUGCUGUGUCCGUACAGGUCGGGGACAACGUCACCCUCGCGUACACUCAUCAGAACGAGUCUCCUUUACGGCAAAGGUAAAGACAACAGUAAAGUUUCUAUUAAUAAUUUAAGCGACACCGUUUCUGUUCUUGAUCUUCGUGCUACAGAGUUGGUUUUGGUACCUUGAAGUUGUCGGAGUUUUUCUCUGACAGAGAAAUGACUAGUUUAAGGAAUUGUUUUCUAAUUCUGUCGGACAUCCGGAAUCAUUAGCUUUAUUAUUUACGGAUCAGACGGUGCAGAGCGUUUGAUCAAGUUAGCGAUAUGCCUGCACGGCUACACUAACACACUUUUGGAUUUGCUGACCGGUUGAUUUCUGAAAACUGAAAAAAUAAUAACUAAUAACAAAAGCAAUUUGAUUGCACAAUUACUCUUCUCUACUAAAAAAUGAAAUAUUUUUUUUUGACCUUUUAUUGCGUUCGUGUGCUUUUUGUCUGACCCGGACCUAUAUAAAACUGAAGUGGCACCGGACUUGCUUCCAUUUACACAGAGGUGUUUCAUUAGAGAGAUGACAUGUUUGCAAACCUCACGCGAGGUUAGUUGAUUUAUGGAUAUGGCGUGACAUAAUAUGAUUUAUGAAUUAUAUAAGUGUGUACUUACUCAAUUAUUACAAUUAAUUGAGGAUUUUUUUGAAAAUUUUGAGAUAAUUUCUUUAAUAUAACUACAAUAUAUAUAUAUAUAUAUAUUAUAAUUUUGGCUGUAGAAUCUCUUACUUAUUAUACAUUAUUUCAGCUAAAAUAUAAGCGAUAGAGAAAAAGAGAUUUUUCUGAAAAACAAAUAAGAAAUCAGUUUCGACGGCCAUUAUUUGUUUGAGUGCGGGCCAUCGACUGAUGUCGAUCCCGUAGGGAAAUCCAAGCGGGAGAUGUUAUGGCAUCUUACAUGGCGUCCGGAUUCUCUUACCGUGGAUUUGUCUCGAAGUGAAUAGUCACACGCCACACGUGAUGUCUCGUCUUGCGUUUGGCAGAUAUUCCGAUGAACUGAUCAUCUGAGCGUACACGUGGACGACAGACCACGUGAACGGUCAGUGGUUGCUAACCUAAGUGACAUUUUCUACUAGUUGCUGCCUGUGACUUUACAGUGAGACUGGUUGUCCAACUCUAGGAAAAAAUAGAACUUUCGUGUGCAACGUUAGAAAAUAUUAUUUAAGUCUUAUGUUUGGUAAAAUUUGAAUAAAAAAAUAUAACAUAUUUCAAUCUUCUGUUAGGGUAUUAACUUGGUAGUUUUUUAUAGCGAAAUUUUCAGCCAAGUUGCGAACACGAAGAUGAUGGCAAAUUUGAAUUGUUUGAUUAAUGAUAUCUUAUUUGAUUUUUUUAUUUAAAUUAAUUUUUUUUUAAAAAAAAUUUAAACAUUAAAAGUAACUUUCAUGGUUGCAUCUAGUGGUGGUACCCAAUAAACUUUAUUUAUGGGAGAACUAAAGGAUAAGGAUAAGGAAACGUAUUAGAUGGGGACUGGGGAGUAGGGACACCGACUUAUUUGUAAUAACAUUUGAAUCAUAAGAUUAAUAAUUUGACUGUGGAUGCUGUGCAUGGCAGAUCAUUUGCUGUGAAAGAUGAGAUCUUUUGCUUGUUUGAGGGAGCACUUGAUAACUUGGGAAGCCUGAGGCAGCAAUAUGGACUAGCUAAGUCGGCAAAUGAAGUGAUCUUGGUGAUUGAGGCAUACAAGGCUCUGCGUGAUCGGGCCCCUUACCCACCGAACCAUGUCGUUGGCCACCUUAGUGGGUACUUUGCCUUCAUUGUCUACGACAAGUCCACCUCCACCUUGUUUGUGGCUUCUGUAGGUUUAUUUAAUUUCUUACCUACCAAAAAACCUAUGUGAAGCUUAUCGCUUUGGUUGGUUUUGGAUAGCAACUUUUUAAUAAUGUUAACAACUGUGGCAGGACCAAUUUGGUAAGGUUCCUCUUUAUUGGGGAAUCACUGCUGAUGGACAUGUUGCCUUUGCUGAUGAUGCUGACUUGCUCAAAGGUGCUUGCGGCAAGUCACUUGCUUCUUUCC
Molecule: long non-coding RNA, 48592 nt
Filed under: Citrus sinensis (sweet orange)
Lineage: Eukaryota; Viridiplantae; Streptophyta; Magnoliopsida; Sapindales; Rutaceae
Description: long non-coding RNA (CSIN_LNC003775)
Source: RNAcentral